This 77464-nucleotide long non-coding RNA is filed under the name Triticum aestivum (bread wheat). Its description in RNAcentral is "long non-coding RNA (TAES_LNC023562)". The record is from RNAcentral. Lineage: Eukaryota; Viridiplantae; Streptophyta; Magnoliopsida; Poales; Poaceae.
AUUUAAAUUUUUUUUUUCUUCAAGAGAACUCUCCCUCUCAUAUAUUUUCUUUAUGGCAAAAAUUUUAUUUGGAUUCACCCAAGAUCUGCCUUUGACCUUGGAGGUUCUUGCUUUCUUUAGGACUCAAGACAAAAUGGUUUUCAUUUGGGAAAAUAACUUUUGAAAACCUUUUCUUGAAUUUGCACUAUGGCUUUUGGAAAGUCUUUUGCCACUUUCAACAAUUCCUCUUUGCCAUGGCCCAAGUGCAAAUGAUCUCUCCUAACUCAUCCCUCACCUCUGGAUCAUGAUUUACAUCAAAUCCAGCAAGUUGGACCUCCCCAUGUAUUUAUUUUCCAUUCAAAUUCUAUUCAAAUAUUUUCUGCCUUCUAUUCUACCACUUGGAGAUUUACAAAGGAACUCCUCUUUCUGUUUUGAUUUUUGGCCCCAAACUUCUUUCCCCUCCUAGUCCUUUGAACCCUCAACCUAGAACCAUGAAGAUCCACUGGUCUCCAGUUCAAAAUUUUCAAACUACAUCAGCUGCAACUUUGGACCAGAUUUGCCAAAUUUGGUGAAAUUCAUUCAAAACUUUCUCCAAAAAUUCCAAGUAAAUUCAUGCAGCCCCUGGGUGCUUUGAGUGAUCAUCUCACCAAGUUACAGCUCCAGCAAAAUUCAUCUCUUUACCAAAACCUACUGUCGAACACCUGCAAUGCUUGGUCACUGUCAAAGUUCAGUAAACUUCAGAGUUCAGUCAGUGCUCACUGUCGUUUUCUUCAGAACGUGACAUCGAUCUCACCAGUGCCAUCGCGUCGCCUUGCUCCUCGUCCUCGCCCUCUCGUUCCUGCACCGCACGAGUGCCUGGCAUCUUGCGGGCGUCGGCGACGAGCAGCAGAAGGUGCGCCGCCCCGUGACCGACGCCGGCGGUGGCUUUGCGGACGCCAGCGGGAGACACGGCGCCGCCGACUCCACCCAGCGCCGCCCAAACCACCGGAGCCCGCCGCGUGGCCGUCCACUCCCCCGAAUGCGCUGCCGCUCUCGUCGUGAACCCCAGGGCGCGGAGCGCGCUCUCUGCCGCCGUUGAGCUCGUGCGGUCACCUCACCGUGGACAGACGCCGUUACGCCAAGACUAACCACGUUCAGCUGCAAAUCAAGUCCAGCAACAUCCACUGAUGCUUCUCGACCGCUGAAACCCCCUGCCAACCCACUGCUCCGCCGUAAUCGUUCGCCGGAGGUUCUCCGUUCACGGCCAUCCCGUCGAGCUGCCUAUAAAUAGGGGCCCCGAGCUUCAACUCGAGCACCCACCAGCCCUACACUUCCCCUAGAGCACGCCCAGCCACUGGAAGAGCCGCGAGGGGGUCUCCUUCCUCGACUCCGGCCACCGUGAUCCGCCACGGGAUCCAGCCCGAUUCGCCCCCGUGUGUGCUCCGCAACCCCCAUUCUCUUGCCAGUAGCUUCUCCUUGCAUCACCCGUUCUGACCCGCGCCUCAAUUCGUACUUUGCAGCCCUCCACCGGAGUUCCCCAACCUCACCCGAACCGCCGUCCGCCGGAGAUAGUGUCGCCGUCGAUGUGGUGCUCCCCGUUGGACGAGUCCACCACCCACCGACGCGGAAGAAGACACUGAAGCUCUUGGUACCCUCCGUUUCUCCUAACUCGUCGUGGUUCGACGCCGGCGUCCACCGCCGUCUUCGGGCGCCGGCGAGCUUUCAAACCUGACAUGCGGGCCCCGCGUGUCAGCCUCUGUUUUAUUUCCCCGAAUCGUUUUCUGUUGGCGCCUUCGGGCAAAUUACGUCUUCUCUCUUGCGCUUGCGCAUUUCCAAACGAACCGUUUUCUGUUUUCUCAGUUAAAACCCUGGAACUUUUCUGUUUCAUUACAGAAAGGUCCCUGGACAGAAACCUUUAUAACUUUUUAAUGAAAAGGUAUUUUUGAGUGAUUCUUUUUCUGUCCAUCUCCAAAUUUUGUCUAGUUUUUUAUGGGAUUUAUUUGAAAAAUAUUUGGCAAAUUUUCUGUGCAUGUGUUGGUUUUCACGUUAGUACCCCGUUUCGUGAUUGCCGUAGGUUCCGGGAGAGGGGACGGAGCCGCGAACUUCGCCGAGCUAGACUCCGACUUCUCCGAACCAGGCAAGCAUGUUUGAACAUUUGAUAUGGCAGAUGUCUUGCAUGUUCAUGUGAAAGUUUGUGCGUGGCAUGUGAGUGUCGAUAAGUACCUCGUUGCUUGUAAGGCAACGACCCGGUUGUUCCGAAGUUGCGAUGACCUCUGAUGAGAGGUGGCCUAAUCAUGUAGUGACAUGAAGGGCAGCAAGGUGGUACUGUUGUAGCAUGCCAGCCUUGCGUCACCCGACUCUCUUCGACGUUAACGUGGUUGGAGCCACGUUAUCGAUCUUUUCCCGCAUGUUCCAAAGUUGCGAUGACCUCUGAUGAGAGGUGGCCUAAUCAUGUGGUGACAUGAAGGGCAGCAAGGUGGUACAGUUGUAGCAUGCCAGCCUUGUGUCAUCCGACUUUAUCGACGUUAACAUGGUUGGAGCCGUGUUAUCGUCCCUUCCCCUUUCCGUGCUACCACAUGUCUCAUUGCCAGGAUACGGUUUAGUAAGUUGGUAACCUCUUUCCGUGUACACACCAAACAGAGAGGCCGGGAUGAUGGUACCUUGGCCUAGGAUUAAAGCCAGUCAUUCGGUCAGGGGGCAUGGGUGUUUCCGGUUGGGACCGAGAGGGGGGGCACCCCCUUAUAGCGCGCGUAUAGAAAUUUGAUCCCAUGCUACGCGAGGUUGUAGCCUCCCCGACUCAGGGUUUUUCCUGAAUGUUGCCGAGGGUGAUCCCUGGCUUCGGAUGGUUAAAUUGGGUGUGUACUGGUUAGACGUGUUCCUUCCAGAACACCGUAGACGGAACUACUCCCCGUGACUACUGAAAUCCGUUGGUUGUGGUUAAGUACAAACUCUGCAGAGUCAAUUCUUUCCAAAUCAUCGUAUCCAUAGUCAGAAAUGUAGAUUUUUAUAUCCAAAUCUAUCUGUGUGAAAAACUUGCCCCCGGUGAACAAGCUCAAGUGGUAAAUUCAAUUUCAUUGUUAUUCCCGUGGAUGGACUAACAUUAUAUUUGUCUCGUGCUUAUGAUAAGUUAUGUUCCCAAACUAUUGUAUUGUUGUGUUACAAUAUAAGCCCUUUAUGCGACGUCGCGCAGACGUCCGACUGCGGCAUGCACUGUCUUUACUUUCGUUAUAAGCCCUUUAUGUGAUGUCGCUCAGACGUCCGACUGCGGCAUGCACUCUUUACUUUCUGUUAUAAGCCCUUUAUGUGGUGUCGCCCCGACGCCCGACUGUGGUAUUAUUAUUCUGCAUUUUCCUCUCGAGGAGUCUUUCAGACACUCGUUUGGCACCCGCAUCAUUAUUUCUGCAUUUUCCGCUCGAGGAGUCUUUCAGACACUCGUUUGGCACCCGCAUUAUUAUUUCUGCAUUUUCCGCUCGAGGAGUCAUUCAGACACUCGUUUGGCACCAGUAUUACUAUCCCGCAUUUUCCGCUCGAGGAGUCAUUCAGACACUCGUUUGGCACCAGUAUUAUUAUUCCGCAUUUUCCGCUCGAGGCGUCAUUCAGACCCUCGCUUGGCACCCAGUAUUUAUUAUCUCUAUGCCUGAUCGCUCUGGUUAACUUAUUCAUGUGCUUCAUGUUUGCAUUUGUUAUACCUUAUGCCCGAACUGUCUUGCGAGUACUUUCAUAGUACUCACCUGGCUUGUUGAUUUGGCCAGAUGUUGAUGAAGGCGAUCUCUUGGAUGAAGAGUUUGAUAGCGCGUCCGACGCCUAGAGGAGUCCCAGUCAGUCCUGCGCGAUCCCGGAUAUUGGUCACUUGUAUCGUUUACGCUUCCGCCACCCGCAAUAAGUCUUCUCGAGCCUCACUCCGACGCUCGAAGAGCUGUAGUCUUCUGGAGUCAUAUCACUCGCCCCGCGGUGAUAUCUCCACCAUCGUUAUUAUCGUGAGUUAGUAGUUUGCCACCCUAUCCGCCGUAUUGUUUUAUCGGCGUGCAUGUAAUAAAUUGUUGGGCAAUCUCUGCUCAACUUUGUAUUAUCUUUAGUACUCCUGGUAUUUUUCUUCUGUGACCAAUGUAUUGUCAUUCAGUGAGAAGGAAUUCUUCCUCGCUGGUCCGUAACAGGGAUUGGUUUCUCAAUAAUUAUUUUAUUGAAAAACCGGUCGUGACAUCUAUAGAUUCAUGCAUAUCAUUAUUUUCUUCCAAAGAAACGGUCAUUUUCUCAAUAAAGUCCUUAACAUAGGCAUUAUGAGCAUAGUUUUCAUAGCAAUAUUUAAGUAUGUCGGAAUUUUCAGAUUUGUAGAGAGUAAUAUCAUACUUUUCAAUCAAAGAAGCAACUUCAUGAGCACCCUUAAAAAUGAAAAAUUCUUCAAUUUGUUCGAUAUCAUAGUAACUAUAAACACCCUUUCCAUAAGAAGAUAUGAUUUAAUUAUCAUUAAACUCACAUAGGUAGGGAAGGUGUUUUUUAGGGUUCUUAGAGCAACAAGUAAAAUCAUAAAUUUCACAAAGAUUCCAAGCAUAGCAUAGCAAACUAUUUAUUUGAUACCAUAAGAGCUUCCCCUUUCAUAAAAAAAGAUGACGCACAAAAUGAGCAUGCUCAUCUAAACAUCUUCCCUCAACUAAACUAGUUGGGGUUUCAGCACGAGCACAAAUAGAUCGAACAUGAUCCAAGUAGAACACUUUAAGUGGAUCCAUAUCAAUAGAUUUUUAGCAAGCAAAGAUGCAAGCAAAUAGAAGGCACAUGGAAACACAAACAAAAAGACAUACGGGAAGAAUGCGAAGAAAAGGCAAAGGUUUCCGAAAAUCGUUUUAGAAGUGGGGGAGAGGAAAACGAGAGGAAAAUGGAAAAUAAUGUAAUGCGAGGGAUAAGAGUUUGUGAUGGGUACUUGGUAUGUCUUGACUUGUGCGUAGACUCCCCGGCAACGGCGCCAGAAAUCCUUCUUGCUACCUCUUGAGCAUGCGUUGGUUUUCCCUUGAAGAGGAAAGGGUGAUGCAGCAAAGUAGCGUAAGUAUUUCCCUCGGUUUUUGAGAACCGAGGUAUCAAUCCAGUAGGAGGCUACACUCAAAUCCCUAGUACCUGCACAAACAAAUAAGAACCUUGCGACCAACGCGAUAAAGGGGUUGUCAAUCCCUUCACGGCCACUUGCAAAAGUAGGAUCUGAUAGAGAUAAUAAAUAUUUUUGGUAUUUUUAUGAUAUAGAUUGGAAAGUAAAGAUUGCAAACUAAAAUAGAUCAGAAACUUAUAUGAUGGAAAAUAGACCCGGGGGCCAUAUGUUUCACUAGUGGCUUCUUUCAAGAUAGCAUAAGUAUUACGGUGGGUGAAAAAAUUACUGUCGAGCAAUUGAUAGGAAACUGCAUAGUUAUGAGAAUAUCUAGGCAUGAUCAUGUAUAUAGGCAUCACGUCCGCGACAAGUAGAUCGAAACGAUUCUGCAUCUACUACUAUUACUCCACACAUCGACCGCUAUCCAGCAUGCAUCUAGAUUAUUAAGUUCAUAAGAACAGAGUAACGCAUUAGGCAAGACGACACGAUGUAGAGGGAUAAACUCAAGAAAUAUGAUAUAAACCCUAUCUUUUUAUCCUCGAUGGCAACAAUACAAUACGUGCCUUGCUGCCCCUGCUGUCACUGGGAAAGGACACCGCAAGAUUAAACCCAAAGCUAAGCACUUCUCCCAUUGCAAGAAAGAUCAAUCUGGUAGGCCAAACCAAACUGAUAAUUCGAAGAGACUUGCAAAGAUAACAAAUCAUACAUAAAAGAAUUCAGAGGAGAUUCAAAUAUUGUUCAUAUAUAAUCUUGAUCAUAAACCCACAAUUCAUCGGAUCUCGACAAACACACCGCAAAAAGUAUUACAUCGAAUAGAUCUCCAAGAAGAUCGAGGAGAACUUUGUAUUGAGAAUCAAAGAGAGAGAAGAAGCCAUCUAGCUAACAACUAUGGACCCGAAGGUCUGUGGUAAACUACUCACACUUCAUCGGAGAGGCUAUGGUGUUGAUGUAGAAGCCCUCCGUGAUCGAUUCCCCCUCUGGCGGAGCGCCGGAAAAGGCCCCAACAUGGGAUCUCACGGGUACAGACGGUUGCGGCGGUGGAAAUAGGGUUUCGUGGUGCUCCUGGAUGUUUUCAGGGUAUAUGAGUAUAUAUAGGCGAAAGAAGUCGGUCAGGGGAGCCACGAGGGGCCCACGAGGGUGGGGGCGCGCCUACCCCCUGGGCACGCCCUCCUGCCUCGUGGCCGCCUCGUUUCUUUCUUGACGCCCACUCCAAGUCUCCUGGAUUGCGUUUGUUCCAAAAAUGACUCUCCCGAAGGUUUCAUUCCGUUUGAACUCCGUUUGAUAUUCCUUUUCUGCGAAACACUGAAAUAGGCAAAAAACUGCAAUUUGGACUGGGCCUCCGAUUAAUAGGUUAGUCCCAAAAAUAAUAUAAAUGUGUAUAAUAAAGCCCAUUAAAUAUCCAAAACAGAUAAUAUAAUAGCAUGGAACAAUCAAAAAUUAUAGAUACGUUGGAGACGUAUCAGCCACCGUCGCACCCCGCGCCAGCUCAGCCGUUGGCGGCCGCCUUCCCGCCCGCCCUGGUCGCCCCCUUCCCGCCGCACCAGCCAGCCGCCGAUGGGGGGCUGUCGCGGCGGCCACCGCGAAGGCCGCAAGAAGCAGCAGGGGGCGCGGGCGCUCACGCAGGAGCAGCGCGCCCUCCGCAGCAGCAGUACUCGCCGGCUCUAUGGUACGCCGGCAAGAACCAAGGACUGGUGGCGUGCACGCCUACUCCAUGCCGGUUCCGCGUGCCCCUGCGCCGGGUAUUCUCGGCGCCCGACCACCGUCUCACCAGGCGUUCUACGCCGCGCCGCAGCCCUACGGGCCCCUCUCCUACGGCCAGCAGCCGCAUCCAGGCGGGCUGCCGCUGCUGCCCCUGACAGCUCCGCCGCAGCAGCAUGCUCUUUCGCUGGCGUCGUGGGACCCGACUCUUCUGGCGGCUCUUCACACCGCCCCCUCACUGUCCACCUACACCGGCGGCGGCUACUGGUAUAUAGACACUGGAGCUACCGCGCAUAUGGCUGCUCAUCCCGGUAACCUCCACACCUCCUAUCCCUUCCACACUUCUGCUCGCAUCACCGUCGGUGAUGGUUCCUCCCUUCCCAUUACUCACAUAGGACAUACAUCUUUUGUGUCUAAUUCUACUCCUGUGUCACUGUCUAACGUCUUAGUUUCUCCUGAGCUUAUUAAAAAUCUUGUUUCUGUUUGUUCUCUUACACGUGAAAAUCCGGUUACCGUUGAAUUUGACGAGUUUUAUUUUUCUGUUAAAGACGCUUGGUACUCCACCGAUGUGAAAGCCCCGACGAGCUCUACCUGGUUCACUCCGCCACCUCCACCACCUCCGCCGCUCCUGUUGCUCUCGCCACCGGAGUGGAUCUUUGGCAUGCUCGCUUGGGUCAUCCAAAACCCUUCGUCAUAUACUUCGGAGUUUUUCCUUCACGUGUAAUAAGAACGUGGAUCACUCGUGUCAUGCAUGUCGCCUCGGCAAACAUGCUCGUCUCCCGUUUAGGGCAUCUUCUCAUGUUGCAUCGUACCCGUUUGAGUUAAUUCAUAGUGAUGUUUGGACCUCUCCUGUUGCAAGUAAUACGGGCUAUCUUUAUUAUCUUGUCAUACUUGAUGAUUUUUCGCACUAUGUGUGGACCUUCCCGUUGCGUCGCAAGUCAGAUGUCAUGUCCACUCUCGCCACCUUCUACUCUUAUGUUCUCAUGCAGUUUGGUCGUCCCAUUCUCGCGUUCCAGACAGAUAAUGGGAAGGAGUUCGACAACCUAGCUGUUCGUACUCUCCUCAUCACACAUGGCACGACUUUUCGUCUGACCUGCCCGUACACUUCGCAGCAGAACGGUCGCGCUGAGCGUGUCCUUUGCACUCUUAACGACUACAUUCGGACUCUCCUCUUUCACGCCAAUGUGCCUCCGCGUUUUUGGCCUGACGCUCUCGCCACAGCAUCACUCCUCAUUAACAUCCGUCCAUGUCGCACUCGCGGGAACUUUGCACCUCAUCACCUCCUCUUCGAUGCACCGCCCUCUUAUGAUGAGCUUCGCAUCUUAAGCUGUCUCUGCUAUCCUAGCAUCGCCACCACUGCGCCUCAUAAGCUUGCACCCCGCUCCGUCGCCUGCAUCUUUCUCGGCUACCCACCUAACACUAAGGGCUACCACUGCUACGAUCCCGUCUCACAUCAUGUUUUCACCUCCAGACAUGUUUACAUUGAUGAGAAGGUGUUCCCGUUUCAGCAGCAGGUACCCCUCGUCGCCCCAUCGCCGCCGGCCAUCGGCGGCCCUUCGGUGACUCCGUCAGGUGGACGGCCCCGCUCGGCUCCCGGACAGCCUCUGGGCUUUGGCGGUCCUUGCGCCGUGGGACGAGCUGCGCCUCACGCCCCCACGUUGGCGCCCGCCUCUUCGUCCUCCUCGGCCGACCCUGCCCCCUCGGCCGGCCCCGCCGCCUUGGCCAGCGCCCCCUCUACACCCGCCACCCCCGCCUCGGGCGCCGCGGGCUCGAGCGCAGAGGGCUCGGCCGCCUCGCCGGCUGUCAUGCCGGGUACGUCGCCGACCGUCUCGCCGGCCGCAUCACCGGCCACCUCGCCGGCUGCCUCACCGCCCGCCUUGCCGGAUGUUUCGGUGCUGCCGUCUCGCCCCAUCACACGGGCCAGAGCUGGCAUUCAUCGUCCGAGUCUGCGGCACUCGAGCGAUGAGUACCUCCUCACCGCCUCCACCGCGGAGCCGUCCCCUAUUCCUACAUCUGCUCGCGUAGCCCUUCAUGAUCCUCACUGGCAUGCCGCGAUGCAGGAAGAGUUCGACGCUCUCCAGCGGAACCGCACCUGGACACUGGUUCCCCGGCCUUCUCGCGCCAAUUUCAUCAACGGCAAGUGGGUCUUUCGCCACAAGACCCGCUCGGAUGGUACACUUGAGCGCUACAAGACUUCACUGAGACGUUUGCAUCGGUUGUCAAACCAGGCACGAUCCGCACCGUCCUCCAGCUUGCGGUGUCCCGAGGCUGGCCAGUUCAUCAGAUGGAUGUCUCCAACGCCUUCCUCCACGGCCAUCUUGAGGAGCAGGUUUAUUGUGAGCAGCCCACCGGUUUCGUCGACGCAUCUCUUCAUAGGCAUGUGUGUUUGCUGUCCCAGUCUCUCUAUGGGCUCAAGCAAGCACCUCGCGCCUGGUAACAGCGGAUCGCCGGGUUUCUUCAAACACUGGGCUUCAGCGUCACUCGCUCGGAUGCCUCACUGUUUGUCUAUCUCCACAGUGACACGACUGCAUAUUUGCUCCUCUACGUUGACGACAUCAUCCUAACGGUCUCCUCCGCAACUCUGCUUCAGUAGAUUACUCUCCGGCUGCGUGACGAGUACGCCAUCAAGGACUUGGGCGCUCUACAUUAUUUCCUUGGCAUUGAGGUUAUUCGGCGACCGGACGACUUCUUUCUUCAUCAGCAGAAGUAUGCGCACGAGCUCCUUGAGCGUGCUGGUAUGCUCAAUUGUCACCCUGUUGCUACUCCUGUUGACACGAAGGCCAAGGUUUCUGCUCUUGAGGGCUUGCCAGCAUCGGAUGCUCCCUUCUACCGGUCCAUUGUCGGUGCUCUUCAGUAUCUGACUCUCACUCGACCGGAUCUAUAGUAUGCUGUUCAGCAGGUGUGUCUCCACAUGCACGCCCCUCGUGACUCCCAUUGGUCCCUCGUGAAGCGGAUCCUCCGUUACAUUCGCGGCACGAUGGCUCUUGGGCUCAGCCUCAUGGCGUCCACUUCUCUAGAAAUGGUGGCCUACUCCGACGCAGACUGGGCUGGCUGCCCCGACACCCGUCGGUCCACCUCUGGCUACUGCGUCUACCUCGGUCCUUCACUCGUCUCGUUGUCGUCCAAGUGACAACCUACGGUUUCGCGCUCAAGCGCGGAGGCUGAGUACCGAGCUGUGGCUAAUGCUGUUGCCGAGCGCACUUGGCUACGACAGUUACUUCAGGAGCUGGAUCACGAUGUCUCCCAGGCUAUAGUUCUCUACUACGACAACGUCUCUGCGGUGUACCUCUCCGCCAACCCCGUUCACCAUCGCCGGACUAAGGACAUUGAGCUGGACAUUCACUUUGUGCGCGAGCAGGUGGCCCUUGGACGUAUUCGGAUCGUCCAUGUUCCGACUCCACAACAGUUCGCCGAUGUGAUGACGAAGGGACUGCCGACUUCCACCUUCGAGGAGUUUCGUUCCAGUCUCUGCGUCACUGACGCCGCUUCGACUGCAGGGGGGUGUUGAGUAUAUUGUGUACGUGUACAUUGUGUAUUGGGCCCACCUCCUGUUUCCUCUGUACAGUUGAGGUUGUGGCCCCCCUCUAUACUCAUAUAUACGUGCCUAGUGCACCGAUCAACGUAUAGCGAUUGCACAGCCCUUCCACACCGUCCAAACCACGGCUGCUGCCGAGAAUGCCAUGGACGACCUCCGCACCUCCUCCCUCCCCCCAUCUGCCCACUUUUCCCACUCUUUUGCAGAUCUACGGCCGCGGUGAGUUGCAACGGCGUGCGGCGACGGUGGGGCAAACCAUGACCGACUAGAGCUACAAUCAUGGCGGCCAGAUGUUGGAACCAACGCAAUUUUUUGCUUCCACCGAUGUUUUGGCUUGCUGGAACCGUCAUCAGUUUUUGCAUUUUUGCUACCAGCGUUUUGUGGUUUGCUGCAACCAGUGUCGAUUUUUGUUACCACCGGCUUCUUGAUUUUUCAGGAACCAGCGCUCGAUUUUUCAUUUUUGCUACCAUUAGUGUUUCGAUUUGCUCGAACAAGCUUCAAUUUUGGCUACCAUGAGGUUUUUGGUUUGUUGGAAGGUCGCCGAUUUUUUCCAAUUUUGCUACCAACGUUUUAUUGGUUUUUGCUGGAACCGCCAAGAAUUUUUGCUACGAACGGCGGAAUUUUUUGCUGCGACCGGCAAAUUAAGGACGAGGAACAACACGAGCUCUACGGCGGGUGCUGCGGUCGGCGGCCGCCGCCACCGGAGUUGCAAGUGGACCUUACACGGUGCUCCAACUAACUAUCCUUUUUGCUCGAACCGGCAAAACUUUUUGCUUCGAUGGGGUGACCGCGGUGACCAUGCCCGCCAGAUGCUACAACCGCUCUCGCUAGAUGCUGGAACCGUGUCAGGAGUUUGUUGCAACCACGGUGACCACGCGCCCGCAGAGGCUCGACCAUGGAUGAUGGUGACGAUGGCGAGCCUCGAUGGCAACACGCGGUGACGUGUUGGAAGACGGUGACGUGCGGCUCUGCGUGCCGCGGGGGGCCUCGCCGGAGAUGCGCCNNNNNNNNNNNNNNNNNNNNNNNNNNNNNNNNNNNNNNNNNNNNNNNNNNNNNNNNNNNNNNNNNNNNNNNNNNNNNNNNNNNNNNNNNNNNNNNNNNNNNNNNNNNNNNNNNNNNNNNNNNNNNNNNNNNNNNNNNNNNNNNNNNNNNNNNNNNNNNNNNNNNNNNNNNNNNNNNNNNNNNNNNNNNNNNNNNNNNNNNNNNNNNNNNNNNNCGCCGCAAGGGCCUUGCUGGAGCUGUGCAGUGCUGCGAGCCACGGGGGAUCUCGCAGGAGAUGCGCCACGGGGGCCUGAGGAAUAAGAAGCUGGGCCGAUUUUUUUUCUCCAGAUCCAACCGCCGCACGGCUAGCAUCAAGCGGCUAGGGCUGUACCGGCCGAAAUUUUCGGCCGGUGCCCCGGCGCCUAGCGGUGCCCUUGUGCCCAAUGUAGAAAUACAGAAUGAAUAAAAAAUAUGACAUAUUGCGGCUGGGAAGCGUUCACAGUGAAGAAGGAUUUAGUUGGCCCACUUGACAGUAGAUUUGGCUCACGGCUACGUAGUAGACAACUACUCUAGUAAAAGUAGAAAAUUUGGCACCCAUAUGCCCACCAGCGUUUGCGUGGGCAAUUUGGCUUUUGGCACAUAUGUGCUGCCCUAAGGUUUGUCGGCACCAGAUGUCACUGGAUUUCCAGGACCAGAUAUCACUGAUUGGAUUUCCAGGACCAGACGACAGUUUUUCAAAAUAUCAAGAUCCACGUGAGAUCCAGGAAUAGUAUAGUUUAUUCUGAAAUGGCCACCAAAAGUAGGCUAAGGCUGAGAUUUCAUUAAUGAGGCGGGCCCAUUGAUGAAAUUUGGUGGGUNNNNNNNNNNNNNNNNNNNNNNNNNNNNNNNNNNNNNNNNNNNNNNNNNNNNNNNNNNNNNNNNNNNNNNNNNNNNNNNNNNNNNNNNNNNNNNNNNNNNNNNNNNNNNNNNNNNNNNNNNNNNNNNNNNNNNNNNNNNNNNNNNNNNNNNNNNNNNNNACGCAACGCUGCCCGUGAAAUUCCGUCGCCAUCGCCCACGUGCCUCCGUUUUUUCUUCUGAGAAGAUUUUCAAUUUGUUCAUCAACUGUCAAGAUGGUACAAAAAACAUUAGAGAUAAGUAGACCACGUAGCGACGACUACAAUCACUAUCACUAGAGGGAGCCGAAGAAGCGUCGUCGUCAUCAUUCCUCCAUCAUCGGAGCCGGGCAAACCUUAUUGUAGUAGACAGUCGGGAAGUCGUCGUGGUAAGGCCUAAGAGGACCAGCACACCAGAACAGCAGCCACCGCCGAUGAAGAGAAGCGUAGACCAGAAAGAUAUAACCUAAAUACGAAUGAAAAUCGGAUCCAAAUGAAUCCACCAAAGACAAACACCGAUCGGAUCAUGCGAGAUCCGUCGGAGACAAAUCUCCACACACCCUCUUAUAACCCUAAGCUGCUGCCGUCUUGUCUUUCUGAACAUAACACAAACCCUAGACGAACACGAAAAAGCAUCUAAAAACGAUGCAGGAGCCCUCCCGCCGGCAAGAGCCGAGAUCCACUGUGUUUCCAUGACCUCACACCACGGAAGACAAAGCGAUCUACGGCGGCGCCAGCGGGAGACGUCGGUUCCUGGUCGCCCUCGCGCGAGCGCACGAGGCGAAGGCCUGGAGACGUACGUAGCCGGGGCUUUUCCCUCCGUUCCUUUUUAGUUGCAUAUAAGUUUUGGAUGAAAUCAAAGUAUCUUCAAUUUAACCAGACUUAUAAAAAAGAGUAUAAACAUUCAUAAUAUUAAAUCAAUUUCAUUUGAUUAAUUACGGAAUGUAGUUCCAUAUUAUAUGCAUUUGGCAUUGUAUAUGUUGAUAUUUUUUAAUAUAAAUCUAUUCAAACUUUGUAAAGUUUAGUUCGACACAAAUCUUAUACGCGAAGUAAGAUCGGGAGUAUUAUCGUAAGGCAAGUCCAACAUCUUCUUCUACUUAUACCGUCUACACGCAGCUCGAUCGUAAACCUUCGGCUCAUACUGGUAAUUCGCAAAGAAAAUGGCCUCUACCACUAGCAGCAGCAAGAAGCUAUGUGUGCUCCUCAUUCCCUUCUUUGCCUCCAGCCACAUCGGACCCUUCACCGAGCUCGCCGUUAGACAAACCACAGGCCGUAGAGGCCACCAUCGCGGUGACACCGGCGAACGUGGCGUUCGUCCGGUCGUUGCUCAAGCGGCACGAGAAUGGCAGUGGUAUACCGGUGAAGGUGGCGAAAUAUGUGAGCCAAAUUUAAGUUUACUCCGUUAUAUAUGGGGGAUAAGGCUCAAUAGGGGAUUAAUUAGGUCCGGCCAAAAUUUAAAGACGCCGAUAACUACCACACGUGUGGUGUAUCGGGUGGUUGUGCCGUACGCUUUGUGUGGCAGGGAUUGGAACCUGCCCGCACGACCGCGUCCGGGCGCGCAAAGCCACAGCCCGCACGUCCGGUGUGUGGCAAAACCGCCCACACGUCCGGGCCAGACGACCGCGCUGCCCGCACGACCCAGCCGUCCCGGCCUCCUUUCGAUCCCCAGACCCGACUGCCGCCAUCGUCUCCCACCUCUCGAUCCCCUACCUCCAUCGCCAGCCUUCUCUGGUUGCCAUGGCAACCAGAGCAGAUCCGUAGGGCCUUCCAACCGCUAACCNNNNNNNNNNNNNNNNNNNNNNNNNNNNNNNNNNNNNNNNNNNNNNNNNNNNNNNNNNNNNNNNNNNNNNNNNNNNNNNNNNNNNNNNNNNNNNNNNNNNNNNNNNNNNNNNNNNNNNNNNNNNNNNNNNNNNNNNNNNNNNNNNNNNNNNNNNNNNNNNNNNNNNNNNNNNNNNNNNNNNNNNNNNNNNNNNNNNNNNNNNNNNNNNNNNNNNNNNNNNNNNNNNNNNNNNNNNNNNNNNNNNNNNNNNNNNNNNNNNNNNNNNNNNNNNNNNNNNNNNNNNNNNNNNNNNNNNNNNNNNNNNNNNNNNNNNNNNNNNNNNNNNNNNNNNNNNNNNNNNNNNNNNNNNAAAGACGACCAGCUAAAAGCAGGUGAAUCUCCGAUCUCCUACUAUUUCUCAUCCUUCUUCUGGCCAGAAAUUGCAAAUUUACCAACGAAGGUGGCGACCGGAUCCACGCUAUCGGGGCAAAACACUACAUGGUUUUGUGUGUCUUCGCAUUUGCCAAGCAGCAUACACCAGAUCUGCCAUGUACUACGGUAGAGUUGAGCUUAGGUUCUCAGUUCGCUUGGUGCAAGUAGUUGGUAAUGAAUGGAUGCGUAGGAAUCACUAAAAAAAGGGAGAGAAAGGAGAAAUUUGCCAUAAAGGGGGGUAGGAAAAAUAGUUGCCACUUGUGUCUAACGUCAGUUGCCACCUAUCGUUGCCGUUAACUGCCACCAUGUUAACCUGUUGCUUGCCAUCCUAUUGUAGUGGUUGUUGCCAUCGAAUCGAAAGGAUAGCUGGCACCCAGAGUUUAGAAAAGAGAGUGGAUGUGCAUAUCCUACUUGCCAUGAUGUGUUGGUUGCCUACGCAGGAAAAUGUGAUAAGACUGCCGUGUUAUCUUCUAUGUGCAAACAGUAGAAGAAUACAUUUUUUUGCGGAUUGUUGAUGCGUUCUUGUUCAUGCAGUGAUUGAGAACACAUUGGCAGAAACAAAACACGGAAAGAAUGAAUCACGAAGAUGGCACUGAUCCUUGGGUUUCUCAAAGGCCAGAAACGCCCCCUUGGGAUGCAGCAGAGUACAGUCAACUCAUUUCUGCAGGGUCGUUGCUGCCACUACUAGAGCAGUACGCAGGCAUUGGUAUGAUGCAUGAUAACAAAGAAAAGAACAUUUGCCACGUUCGCGACGAUGAAGAUGACAUUCUACUUUUGUCCUCCAAUGUCAUUUUUCGCAGGUUCUUAUGACCAAAACACACUCAGGGGGGCACCAUGGCAAGUUCAGUCACAGGGCGCUAACACUGACAAAUGUACGGGCAACCAACUUCAACUAGCUAAUGUGGCAAAUUAAGGUAACGCAUACGAAAAAGAAACAUACUGGUGUGGACAUGAAAAAUAAACUUGUAAAUGAUGGAAAAAGACUCACGAGUUAUAUCGGGAAAAAUGUAGAACCUUCAUGCAGCACGUGGCAUCAAACGACAACCAUGUACCUGCCAUCGACGUCAUACACAGGUGAGUCCAUAAAAAGUGAAGUUGCGGACGGUGAAUUAGCAGAAGGAACAUAGUUGACAACUGCAGUUGCCAUCCCUGGACAACUGCAGUUGCCAUCCAUGGACAACUUCAGUUGCCAUGCCAGGACAAACUGCAGUUGCCAUGUAUGAUCAAAAUGUGAUUGCAAUGUAUAAACAACCGUGGAUGGCAAGUGUGAACAAUUCUGUGUGGCAUGGUUGGACCACUACAUGUUCCAUGUUGAAGAAACUACAAUUGCCAUGCAGUGACCAACUACUACCAUGAUUACAGGUUAUUACGGUGGUACUACCUAGGCAAACGUCUCAUGGCAAGCUUCACAAAUGCAGGACAGCACUAUUGCAGAUAGAGCACGUCAAAUUGGUAUGACAGACCACACAAGAUGGGCACAUGCGGCACAACAAGGUAUGAAAAUUUGAACCACAAAACAGCACUGCAUUUGUUUUUGUGGGAAUAGCAUGUGAGGAAAAGAAGAUUUGUAACAGUGAUGGUGGAAAAAAUCAAACAGAAAACGCUAACAAGUGGUCGUGUGCAAUGAGUCAUAUAUUGUCUUCGGGAUUUGCCAAUUGCUAAAAGCAUGUGUGCAACACUAAUGAUUGACGCAUUUGCCUAGUGAGCUCAAGCCUGGAAUACAAAGUUUUGAUGCUAGAAUAUACUGGUUGCCAUGUAUUGGCAGCAGUAUUUGCCAUGUAUGUAACUGCAGCUGCCAUGGAUAUAGAAUCCAAGUUUUGGUACUGCAAGGAGCUGGUUGCCAUGCAUUGGCAACAGUAGUUGCCAUGUUUGUUGGACUGUAGCUGCCAUGACUGGAGAACUACAGUUGCCAUACAUGUCCAUAUGCAGACUCAUGGCUUGCUCUUUGAAUGUUGUCAUGCCAAAUCACUUGCAGUUGAUGUACUCCGUUACGAUAAACAUGUCAUUCAAGCAAAAUCUUACGCUCGUACCUGUUUUUUUAUUACAGGACCUUCAACUACAAUCAACAGCGGCAUGGGGACAUCUACUGCGGGGAGCUCUGAGCGCACGGAAGACGCGUUCCACCAGCCAGCCAACAAUCAUGCCACAAACAAUGCCGAGUCAGUGUCGGAAAUGGCAAUCAUUCCAGCAAUGCCGACAAGCACACAUUUGAACACAAGCACUGGCAACACUCAAGUAGAUGAAACUGCCGCCGAUACUGAAGUGAAUGAUGAAACUGAUGACGAAGCACAAGGGGAUGAAGAUGGUGGGCAAUCAGAGAUCAUGGUACCUGAUACGUCUCCAACGUAUCUAUUUUUUCAAACACUUUUGCCCUUAUUUUGGACUCUAACUUGCAUGAUUUGAAUGGAACUAACCCGGACUGACGCUGUUUUAAGCAGAAUUGCCAUGAUGUUAUCUUUGUGCAGAAAACAAAAGUUCUCGAAAUGACCUGGAAAUCCACGGAGAUUAUUUUUGGAAAAUAAGAAAAAUACAGGCGAAAGAAUCAAGGCCAGGGGGCCCACACCCUGUCCAGGAGGGUGGGGGGGCGCCCUCUCCCCCUGGGCGCGCCCCCUAUCUCCUGGGCCCCCUGGAGCUCCACUGACCUCAACUCCAACGCUAUAUAUUCCGUUUCGCGGAGAAAAAAAUCAGAGAGAAAGUUUCAUCGCGUUUUACGAUACGGAGCUGCCGCCAAGCCCUAAUCUCUCUCGGGAGGGCUGAUCUGGAGUCCGUUCGGGGCUCCGGAGAGGGGAAUUUGUCGCCGUCGUCAUCAUCAACCAUCCUCCAUCACCAAUUUCAUGAUGCUCACCGCCGUGCGUGAGUAAUUCCAUCAUAGGCUUGCUGGACGGUGAUGGGUUGGAUGAGAUUUAUCAUGUAAUUGAGUUAGUUUUGUUAGGGUUUGAUCCCUAGUAUCCACUAUGUUCUGAGAUUGAUGUUGCUAUGACUUUGCUAUGCUUAAUGCUUGUCACUAGGGCCCGAGUGCCAUGAUUUCAGAUCUGAACCUAUUAUGUUUUCAUGAAUAUAUGUGAGUUCUUGAUCCUAUCUUGCAAGUCUAUAGUCACCAAUUAUGUGUUAUGAUCCGACAACCCCGAAGUGACAAUAAUUGGGAUACUUCUCGGUGAUGACCGUAGUUUGAGGAGUUCAUGUAUUCGCUAAGUGCUAAUGCUUUGUUCCGGUUCUCUAUUAAAAGGAGGCCUUAAUAUCCCUUAGUUUCCACUAGGACCCCGCUGCCACAGGAGGGUAGGACAAAAGAUGUCAUGCAAGUUCUUUUCCAUAAGCACGUAUGACUAUAUUCGGAAUACAUGCCUACAUUACAUUGAUGAACUGGAGCUAGUUUUGUGUCACCCUAGGUUAUAACUAUUGCAUGAGGAAUCGCAUCCGACAUAAUUAUCCAUCACUGAUCCAAUGCCUACGAGCUUUUCACAUAUUGUUCUUUGCUUAUUUACUUUUCUGUUGCUACUGUUACAACCACUACAAAACCCAAAAAUAUUACUUUUGCUACUGUUAUCAUUACUAUCAUAUUACUUUGCUACUAAAUACUUUGCUGCAGAUACUAAGUUAUCCAGGUGUGGUUGAAUUGACAACUCAACUACUAAUACUUGAGAAUAUUCUUUGGCUCCCCUUGUGUCGAAUCAGUAAAUUUGGGUUGAAUACUCCACCCUCGAAAGCUGUUGCGAUCCCCUACACUUGUGGGUUAUCAAGACUAAUUCCUGGCGCCGUUGCCGGGGAGCAUGGCUCUAUUCUUUGAGUCACUUGGGAUUUAUAUCUGUUGGUCACUAUGAAGAACUUGAAAGACAACAAAAAAAAAUUUAUCCAUCAACUACGAGGGGAGGUAAGGAACUGCCAUCUAGCUCUGCACUAGAUUCUCCUUCUAUUUUGAGUAAGCUUGCGACACCUAAACCUGCUACUGCUAUGAAUUCUGAUAUGGCGCAUGUUAUUAAUGAUGCCACUUCUGCUAUGCAUGAUACUUAUGAUGAAACUACUUCCAUGCUUGAUACUAUUGUGCCAUUAGGUGAAUUUCUUGAUGAACAACUUGCUAGGGCUAGAGAGAAUGAAAUUAUUAAUGAUGAUAUUAUUGAAGAUAGUGAUGAUGAAGGUUCUCCUCCUAAUUAUGAAUUGCCUGUUGUUCCUGAGGGUUAUGUUAUGGAUGAAGAAACUGCUAGAGAUCUUCUUGCUUGCAAUGAUAGAUAUGAUCUUAAGAAAUUACUAGCUAAACUUAAACAGAAAACUCUGAAUGCUAGAAUGAAACAUGACCCUGCUUUUGCUACUUCACCUAUCUUCGUUACUGAUAAGGAUUAUGAAUUCUCUGUUGAUCCUGAGAUAAUUACUUUGUUUGAAUUUGAUCCUUUUUAUGGCUAUGAAUCUGAAACUAUAGUGGCACAUCUUACCAAGUUAAAUGAUAUAGCCACCCUAUUUACUAAUGAUGAGAAAUCCCGCUACUAUUAUAUCCUUAAGAUAUUUCCGUUCUCAUUAAAGGGUGAUGCUAAAACUUGGUUUAAUUCUCUUGAUCCUGGUUGUGUGCAUAGUCCCCAGGAUAUGAUUUAUUACUUCUCUACUAAAUAUUUCCCUGCUCAUAAGAAACUAGCUGCCUUGAGGGAAAUAUAUAAUUUCGUGCAAAUCAAAGAAGAGAGUCUCCCACAAGCUUGGGGGAGGCUUCUCCGAUUACUUAAUGCUUUUCAUGAUCAUCCUCUUAAGAAAAAUGAAAUACUUGAUAUCUUUUAUAAUGGACUAACCGAUGCUUCCAAGGACCACUUGGAUAGUUGUGCUGGUUGUGUUUUCAGGGAAAGAACAGUCAACCAAGCGGAAUUGUUAUUGAAUAAUAUGUUGACUAAUGAAAAUAAUUGGACCCUUCCUGAGCCAAUUCCCGAGCCAAUUGAGCCAACUCCUGAGCCUAUUCCUAAACCUACUCCGAAGAAUAGAGGUGUUCUAUUUCUCAGUCCUGAAGAUAUGCAAGAGGCAAAGAAAUCAAUGAAAAAAAAAGGUAUUAAAGCUGAAGAUGUUAAGAAUUUAACUCCUAUUGAAGAAAUACAUGGUCUUAAUAUACCGCCUGUUGAAGAAACACAUUGUCUUGAUAACCCGACACAGGUAGUAAAGGUAAAUUCUCUCUAUAGAUAUGAUAUAGUUGAAAUCCCGUCUGUUAGAUUUCCCUAGCCAAUGUUUAGAUGAAUUUGAUGACUUUAUGGCUAGGCAAGAAAGUUUUAAUGCUUAUGUUGGUAGAGAAUUAAAGAGUAAUGCUUACAUGAUUGGACACUUGAGUGAUUAUAUGUCUAGAGUUAAAGGUGAACUUAAACUCAUUAGUAAACAUGCUUCUAUGGUUACCACUCAAGAUGAACAAAUACUUAAAGCUCAAAAUGAUUUGCUUGAUGAAUUAAAUAAUAAACAUGACUAUGUUGUCAGAGUGGCUACUAGAACUGGUAGAAUGACCGAGGAACCUUUGUAUCCUGAAGGCCACCCUAAGAGAAUCGAGCAAGAUUCUCAGAGAAAUAAUUUAGAUGCACCUAGUCCUUCUAAAAAGAAGAAAAAGAAAAAUGACAGGACUUUGCAUGCUUCUAGUGAACCUAUUGUAGACACACCUGAGAAUCCUAAUAAUAUUUCUAUUUCUGAUGCUCAAACACAAUCAGGUGAUGAACAUGAACCUAGUGAUAAUGUUAAUGAAAAUGUUCAUGUUGAUGCUCAACCUAGCAAUAAUAAUGAUGUAGAAAUUGAACCUGCUGUUGAUCUUGAUAACCCACAAUCAAAGAAUCAACGUUGUGAUAAGAGAGACUUUGUUGCUAGGAAGCACGGUAAAGAAAGAGAACCAUGGGUUCAGAAACCCCUGCCUUUUCCUCCUAAACCAUCCAAAACAAAGGAUGAUGAGGAUUUUGAGCGCUUUGCUGAAAUGAUUAGACCUAUUUUCUUAUGCAUGCGCUUAACUGAUAUGCUUAAAGUAAAUCCUUAUGCUAAGUAUAUGAAGGAUAUCAUUACAAAUAAAAGAAAGAUACCGGAAGCUGAAAUUUCCACCAUGCUUGCUAAUUACACUUUUAAAGGUGGAAUACCAAAGAAACUAGGAGACCCAGGGGUACCAACUAUACCAUGCUCCAUUAAAAGAAAUUAUGUUAAAACUGCUUUAUGUGAUCUUGGAGCCGGUGUUAGUGUUAUGCCUCUCUCUUUAUAUCGUAGACUUGAAUUGAAUAAGUUGACACCUACUGAAAUAUCUUUGCAAAUGGCCGAUAAAUCAACUGCUAUACCUGUCGGUAUUUGUGAGGAUGUGCCUGUUGUGGUUGCAAAUGUCACUAUCUUAACGGACUUUGUUAUUCUUGAUAUUCCCGAGGACGAUAGUAUGUCGAUUAUCCUUGGUAGACCCUUUUUGAAUACUGCAGGGGCUGUUAUUGAUUGCAACAAAGGCAAUGUCACUUUUCAUGUUAAUGGUAAUGAGCAUACAGUACACUUUCCGAGGAAACAACCUCAAGUUCAUAGCAUCAAUUCUAUUGGGAAAAUUCCAACUAUUACUAUUGGAGGUUUUGAAUUUCCUCUUCCUACUGUCAAGAAGAAAUAUGGUAUUCUUAUUAUUGGGGAUGUUCAUAUCCCCGUUGAGGUAACCUAGUGUUAUUCGAAAUUUCUCCGGUUCCGUGUUAUUCGGAAUGGGUUCGUUAACAAGACUAGAUCAACCUUGUUAGUGGAUUCAUUUUGAUGAUCAUGAGAUGGAUGAAACUAGAAGGCACAACCUUCUGUACCCUCUUUUUACUUUCUGUUAUUUAGAAUAAAUAAAGCAAAAAUAGUAUUAUCUAUCUGUUUUCUGAAUUAUCAUGCAAUAAAAAAAUAUCCCGAAAAUAAAAGUUCUCCAAAUGCCCUGCCAAUUUAGUAUGAUUUUUUCUGGAAUAUUUGAGGAUUUUAGGCACUAAGAACACAGCAGGGGGGCAAGCACCUGGCCACGAGGGUCCAGGGCGCGCCCACCUUUACAGGGCGCGCCCACCUGUCUCGUGGGCCCACGGUGGCCCCCCUCCACUUAUUCCUGCACCCACACACUCCAUCUUCCUCCCAAAAAAAUCCCCAUCCAACUCAAGCACGAGUUCUAGCUCAUUUUGCUGCGAUUUUCGAUCUCUUUGCUCAAAGCUCCAUUCGAAAAACUGCUUUGGGAGUUUUUUGCUUGGUAUGUGACUCCUCCAUUGGUCCAAUUAGUUUUUGUUCUAGUGCUUUAUUUAUUGCAAAUUUUUGCUGCAUAGGUGACCCUGUUCUUGAGCUUGCAUGUCAAAUUUAUGAGGUCCCAAGUAAUUCUAAUGCAUGAUAUAGGCUCUAGGCACUUGUAGGAGUAGUUGCUAUCAAUCCUGUUUAGUUUGAUUCACUUUUAUUUUGAAGUUACUAAAAAUUUCAGAAAUUUUCAGAAAAUGAUGAGGAGGUUAUUGAGGGGCUCUUCUAGCCAAAGCUCUAAGGAUAAACAAGCUAAGGAGAAAGAAAAGGCCAAUUAUAAUCUUCCUCGCAUAGCGGAAGUGUCGUGGUUUUGUCACGGCAGAUGUCCUUAGUGUCAGGACUUAGUCGCGAGGCCAGCGCAUCUAUGUGGUAGCUUGAGAGGGGUUGAGCAGAAUCGAGAGACGCAACACACAAGACAAGGAUUUAGACAGCUUCGGGCCCCGGGAAACAUCAUCCGGUAAUAGCCCUACAUGUUGUUUGUGGCUAGGUCUCAUUAUCAUCAUGAGGGAGUCGCCGGUAAACCGGCUCUUUGUGUCUAGCCCUAGAGAUUGUUUCUUCUUGCUUGUCCCUCUUUGGGGUGCCCUGCCCCUCCUUAUAUAUGUUUAAGGGGCGGGUUACAUGUGUAGUCCUAUUAGGAUUAGGACUAGUCUAUCUCUAAUACAAACCGGAUACAAGUCCUGGUCUUAACUCAUUGUAAGGUAAAUAUUCGUCAUGCCUUUCCUCUUAAACCGGCCCACCAUAGUACGAACCGGCCUUCAUGAACCGCCUGUUGGGCCACCGGGUCUUGUCGCUCCUCUGACCCACCUGUCGGAUUACCAAUGAAUCGUAAACCGCCAGGUCCAAACGGGUCACCAGUGAAUCGUCAAGUCUCAGCCGGGUCUCAAGUAAACCGCCAAGUCCGACCGGGUUAUACUUUCCGGCCGGUUUACGCCGCGGGAUAUAUCCCCGACAUUAGCCCCUAGUUUAAUUUGGAUUUAUCAUUGUUAAACUCAUCCUGUAAAACAAACACAAGAACAAGUUUGACAGAUUAUGCUUCGGGUUAAGAAUUCUUGUAAACCGGCAUCUGAUCAUCCUUAAGUCCUUGUCAUUUCCUCCUUCUAGAAAAUCCGGGUCAACAAGCCAGCUUCAUACUCAAUUUGCUGACAUUGGCUUCUCACAGAGAAAUAUUAUGAAGAAUAAUCCACUUGAGUCAGCUUCCAAAGCGCCGGUUUAAGAAAUAUGGGUCUUGAAAUACUCAUCUGAUAUCCGGCUAGUUUGAAGAUGUAAAACUUGCCGGUUUAAUAUUACCAAAAUUGUCGGGUUAUAAAAACUGAUAAUUCCAGGUCAUGAUUGUUGCCAACGCCGGUUCAUGAUUGUUGCCAACACCGGUUCAUGAUUAUUGAUGACGCCGGGUUAUGAUUGUUGUAGACACCGGGUCAAUCUGGUUAGCUCAAAACUGAAAAUUGGAAGAUACUUCUCCCUUAUAUCCAUAUUACCUGUAGUCCCCCAAGUCUUGAACAGAACAAAGUGAUGAUUUGAGACUUGUUUCCAUAUAAUUACUGCCACUUUGAAGAAAUCCAUGUUGUUCAUCUCAGUCACUAGUAAAAACUGAAUACUCCAUAUAUGUAGCCCCCAAGUGUCGGGUUGUCAUGCUUGCAGCAACCUGGGACUUGUAAUUGCCUUAUACUCAUAAAAACUUCAACCAGUGUAGCCCCCAAGGGCCGGGUCAUUAUGCAAUAAUGAGCAGGACUUUAUAAAUAUGAUCGUGUAGAUUUGAACAAUAACGUGUAUCCCCCAAGGGCCGGCUCAGUAAGAAAAUAUUGAGCUGGUACUUUAUAUAUACUUCAUUGAAAAUAACAUCAUAUGAUGUAACCCCCAUCAUGGUGCUUGAAUCCACGUCCACAAGGUUAAGAGCUUUGUGCUUUACCAACUGAGCAAUAAACCUUUCAAUAAUAUAUGAAAAUUUGAGUACCUUGAAUUGUUUGACAGGACUAAUUGGUAGCCCCGAAAGGCCGGCUCAUUACAAUGUGAUGAGUUGGGUCUUCAAUAAGGUGAGCAAAAAAUGACUUUGCAUUAGCCCCCAAGUGUCAUGGUGCAUACUUGCAGCGACAUGAUACUUGCAUAUUUGAUGUAAUCUCAACUUGAAGUAAUGUAGCCCCCAAGUGCCGGGUCGUAAGCCUGCAGCAACUUGGGACUAUUCCUUCAAUUGUAGAAUAAAUUAUAUCCAUUGAUAAUACGAUAGCCAUUGCGCUAAAGCAACUUUGAAAACCUUAAUCAUAAUACUGGUUAUUGAUAACCAUAAUAAAAAUCAGCCAUGUAGGCUAUUUGAAGAUUUGAAUAAGAUAAUCCAAUGAUUUAUGAGUGCAUGAUUCCAAUGGCGCAAUCCAAACAUAUACUGGCGACUUAUAGUCCCAAGCCAGGUCGGGUUAACAAACACCGGAUAAUUUCUCAUCAUAUACUGGCGACUUAUCGUCUUAAAGACAGACCGGUUUAAUAAACACCGUAUAAUUUAUCAUCAUACUGGCGACAUAUAGUCGAAAGCCAGGCCGGGUUAAUAAACACCGGUGAUUUAUAAUCAUGCUUUAUUCAACCUGUUUCUGCAUAUAACAAGUUUAAAGUGUCCUGGCGGUUUACCGUCGGACGGGUCAUAAUGCCCAACAUAUAACCCGGAUUUAUAACCAAGGCUGCAUUUUAAGAAUAAUCAAAUAUGAAAUAUAUCAUACCUGUGACAUUGAAUCACAUCGUUGGUUUACCAACUUUUUGUAGUAAGGGUGAUAACCCAAAUUUUGAGUACUGAUAACUCAUCCCAUAUUGUGCCGGUUUACGAUAAAACCGUUCCGGGUUGUGAUAAACACCGGUUUAUCCCAUAUUGGUGACUUUAAGUCAAAACCAGACCGGGCUGAUAGUCUCCGGUUUGUAGUAAGGCAGGAUACCCAUGUUUGAACCGCGCAUCAUGGCAGCAGGUCCUCUUCGGCAACCUUUAACUUUUUGUAAGGGAUAAAUUCUUCUUGAACCGGGAUUUUAAACCAGAUAUUGAGAGCUUCAAAGCUUUAUGGGAGACAUCUUUCCCUUGAACCGGAUUUUAAACCAGAAUCUUCAUUUUUAGCCGGAAAUCUUCUGACGGCCCUUAAGCUCGAACUUGCAAGAAGUUAAUUCCUUUUUGAACCGGACAUUGUUAAACCGGAUUUGAGCGCUUCAGAGCUUUGUGGGAGAAUAGAUUUCCCUUGAACCGGAUUGUAAACCGGAUAUUGAGAGCUUCAGUGAGACCGACUUCCCUUGAGCCGGAUUUUAAACCGGAGUCAUUUCUGAUGACCCGGAACUUCUUCAUUGAGCCGGGAUUUUGUAACUGUCAUAUAUUUUCUAAACCGGAAAUUUUCUGACGGCCUUUAAAUUUUCAUUAAUAUAACAGUAGCCUCCGAAACCGGGUUAUCUUUUCCUCCAUCGUCCUGGGGUUCUUAAAUUUGCUGAAACUGGCAAGAUUUGCUGAGUCAUGUCAUCGUAGCCCCCGAGUCUCAAAGGUGACUCGAGGAGUUGGCUUGAGACUCUCCAUAUUUGACCGUGAUGUAAACCGGUAUAACUUGUAUAUCAUUGGUGUUGAUAGCACAAUGUGAAUCCACAGAAGGCUGAGGUGACUGCGGCGGGUUAUAAACGACCCCGUAUGAGUUGUGUCAGCAACUCGGCCAAUGGUUCCUUCCAACAGGUGAUUUGAAGUUAACCAAAACUGUACUGGCGGCGACUUGUGCGCCAGCCCGUUGAACCACCUGUGCAGACGGCGGUUGAUAGUAUAUGAUAAUUUGCCUCCAUUUUGUUGAAAGAAAAUCGGGCUACCCAAGCUGUGACUUGUUCAUACUCAAUAAAUAGCUCAUGCAGACAGGUGCGGCCCGGUAUGUUGAUGUAGACCAGGCCGCGAGAGACAGAGGACAAGGACGACCGCAGCAUCAGAGGCAGCUCGGACAGAUAAGUCGGCCGCGGCAUUGUAAGCCGGUGCAGACGGGGGAAAUCGGAAGUAUGCUGAUGUAGACCGGACUGCGGGGGAUGGCGGGCUGUGCACGCGUUAUUGGGUAAUUCGCACGGUCCUGACGAAUUGACGCGGACUGGAUCGCGAUAUAAACCGGCAUGGGUUAUCCAAUAGCUCAGCGAUAUAAUAAUCCCUUUUUGUGAUAGACAAUUUGUCCUACAUUGGAAACGUUUGCAAGCCAGAGUAUUUUCUCUUUUUAAAGAAAGUAAUAUAUAAUAUGAAAAUAUAGUGGAUGGAUUUCACCUGGUAUGUUAGCCAGAAAAUCUCCACUGCGGAAUUGAUGAUCACCGCGGUGAAGCUGAAAUCGAUCAUGGACAAGUUGGCCAUACGAGCAGACGGAUGAACCGGCCGCGGCGUUCUAAACCGUCGCGGACGCGUGAACCGGCCGCGAGGGACGGACGAGCGAGUCGUCUGUGGCGUUUGUAAUGCAGUGCAGACGCGUGAGUUGGUCGUGGACGCGGACAGUUGAGUCGGCGCGGGUACGGUCGAAUGAACCGAAUUGAUCACGACAGUAUGGACAAAUACCAAUGCAAAAUGAUGACACGGUACGCUCCAUAUCCGCGGUAUAAAGCCGUUUUUCUAAUAGAUGAUUACCCUGCAUAUAAAAAACACCAUAGAGCAGAGUAGUUGCGCUCGGACUAAUUUUAAAGUGUACUAAGGAAAUAUAUAGAAGAAAUAGCACCUGAUUUUGAGCGGUCUCAGUGUACGUUUUUGCUGCGUACUGUCAUUUGAUUUUUGAUGUAACGGCUUGUCCCUUGUGACCACGUGAGAGCUUUCUUGGAGGUUUCGCUGGCAGUAUACUCUCCACCGGGAUCUGGAAGUUUGUGCAAACAAAAACACUUUAACUUGAAUAGACGGCUUGCGGUUUUGAUGGAUGUGAGUGCACUUCUGCCUUCGUCUGUACUACUGUGCGUAGCACUUUGUUUUUUGGAUUUAACUGAUCUCCACAUCAGGAAAAAGUAGCAGCUGCAGUAGCUUGUUGCCUCGGGACACGAAGUCUAAGAACCGCGGACGUGUUGCCAUGGGAAACUUGGAAACAACAGCUGCACCCUCAUAAUAUAUCUGUGGCUCAGCGAGUUAUGAUCGGAUGGUCUGUGAGGCACACAGCCUGCCGUACUCCUGUCGGUCUCCGUGAUUUGAUCGAUUGUCUUCAGAUCGCCCGAUGGGAGCGGUGGUUUGACUUUUCGUUGACUGCCCUUCACAUAUGGAAGCAAUUGCCAUCAUCAUCAUCGAGAUUUCUUUUUCCAUCAGCUUACAACUUGACGGAUCGCCAAAAGCUGCCACAACCAAAAAUUUUGUCUCGGACUCAGCGGAUCUCCAUGCCGCUCGUAUCGGCCGCUUAGCCCGCAACCCUAAAAUCUUCUGAAUCUUAAUUUCAUAUGCGUUGUUCCGACUGCUGGUUGACAAUGUAUAUCCUUCUGAAACUGACUUGUAGGGUAACUCGACAGAAAAUGAAAAUUUUCGGUAUAGCGAGCACGCCCAGGACCACUAUGGAGACUGCAUACAAGGUUUGAUCUGAUCCGUACCGACUCGAAGCGCAGCGGAAGAAGAGUCGGUGUAGAUCGUCGGUGCAGAUCCCCGCAGCUAGGAUUUACAACCUCCCAACCGCGAGGAUGUACUCCCUCUCCGGAUAGCCCUUCGGGAGGCGGUCGGACAGUCCCCCGGACAAUGUCGCGGACAGCCCUUCGGGAGGACCCUCGAAACUCGGACAGAGACUCGGACAGCCCUUCGGGAGGACACUCGAACAGCCCCUCGGGCAAGAGAUUGAAACUACAAUCUCUCUACGGGGUUGCACACAUACGGUGUCAGCUAUCCGGCAGGGCUUCGCCGUCCAGAACUAGUUCCUGCCGGAACCCAGACAGCCUUACGGCUCUACGAAACUCUUUUCGUGGGAGGGAGAGAAGAAGCCUGAUAAUGCAUGGCAUGUGUAUGAGAGCAAGGGAUGAGCUUUGGGCUGCCCACUCCUCCUCUAUUUAUAGGAAAGCCAAGGGGUAGGGAUGGCUCACAAAAACCCAAAAUGCCCAUGCAAAUGUCACACAUGAAGGGCAUAAUGGGGAGUGAAGUGGAGCUCCAUGGAGCCCCACACAUGUGGCCGGCCAACCCCCUUGGGGGACCCCCAUGAGGAGCAUGCUUGGCCCCCAAGCCCUUCUAGAAGCCUUUUGGAGAUAUCCCAAAAGGUGACUCACCAUAAAAUAUCCCAAAAAGCACUUUCACUAUUCACGACGACAUUUUUCAGCGUCUGUUCGAACUGAAAAUAUUUAUGUGGGCUUAGAACAUUUCCAGUACCCACCAAAAUUAUUUUCAACGUGUUCCGAAACAAUUCUGGUUUAGUGAUUUUCAUCUGCGAAAAGCAUCUGAAGUGGCUCCGGCAGCUCCGGAACAUUUCCGGUUUUUAUCUCAGAAAAUUCCAAAAAGCUUCCAGAAUGAUUCUGGCAUCCUCCAAGAAUUAUCAGGCAUGUGCCGAAACCAAUUUGACUUAAUGGUGUAUCCCGAAACAACUUUUCGGUAUCAUUGAAACUUAUCCGAUGACCUCUCUCUGCGGUACGAUUCCGCUGUCCGAAACUUUUCGGUGUCCGAAACUUUUUCGGUGAUUUUCUCUCAGACUCCCUGUCUAGUAUUCAGCAGAUAGAUGACCCUUAAGCGUGUGACCCUAUAGGUUCGGUGAAGUAUAGACAUGACCUGGAACCCCUUCCGAUCAAUGAUCAACAUCGGAGCCGUGGACACCCAUAUUGACCCCUAUACCCACACGAAUGAAUAUUCGAGUGAACCUCCAGUUGCAGUGAGCUAUUCCUGUUGCUUCGCGAUAUGUCACAAACACCCGAGGUGAGAUUUAUUGCAUGCCCAUGGACGAACAAUUUGUCCACCAUGCAAGUUACCUCGUUACCGGUUUUGUUCUCUUCUCUCGUUUAUGUGUUCCGGCAUCCCAGUGAUCAAAUCACAAUGUGUCUGGCCAGACAAUGAUGGAUACCGUUACACCGAGAGGGCCCGAGUAUAUCUCUCCAUCGUCGGAGGAGCAAAUCCCAAUCUUGAGCUAUCUUGUUACUUCCUAUACUUUUCCGUGAACCCAAAAGCUGCCGUAAUAGCCACCCAGUUACGGAUGACGUUUAACAAACCCCAAAGUUCACGAAGCAAGCACGAAGGAACUUGAUACUCUCAUGGUCUAAGGAAUUAUGCAAACAUUAACUAUCUCAAUGAUAUUAACCAUAAACUUGUGACGAAGGUAUCUCAUAGCAUAACAUCAAUCCGGGUUGAUUCAACACAAGCGUUCUACCAAACUUGUGCCCUCAAAAUUGCCGGCAUAGUCAUGCCCAUGAUCAGGAAACAGGAUCAUCAUGCAAUACUUGAGCUAGUCUUAGAGGCAAGACUAGGAAUAUAUUUUACCGUUUAUUAUACCACAUGUGCAUAUGAGUUCCCUCCGAGCCUCGUGGAUAUUGUAGACUCGAGAAUCAUUGCAGUUAUAGCAUGGAUCAUAAACAUUCAUUACAAACUUGGAGAUACAAAAUAACUGUUAUUACUGCCUCUAGGGCAUAUCUCCUACAGACUCCCACUUGCACUAGAGUCAUAAUCCAGUUACAUGGCUUCCCUAACACCAAUGGCUAUCCGGUGCUGCUCAUGUUUUGCUCGUGGUAGAGGCUUUGUCAUCGGGUCUGACACGUUCAGAUCCGUGUGAACUUUGCGUACUUUCACUAAACCCUCUUCGACAUAAUGUCGAAUGAGUUUAUAUUUGCGUUGAAUAUGUCUUGUUUUAUGGUGCGAACUUGGCUCCCUUGCCUGAGCCACGGCGCCACUAUUAUCACAAUAGAUCUCCACCGGGUCCUGGGCACUAGGAACCACACCAAGGUCUUCAAGAAAUUGUUUGAUCCAUACCGCCUCCUUGGAGGCUUCUGAAGCAGCAACAUAUUCCGCCUCCGUCGUAGAAUCCGCCACAGUCUUUUGUUUGGAACUUUUCCAAUCAACUGCGCCGCCGUUCAAUAUGAAAACGUAGCCUGAUUGAGAUUUGAAGUCAUCUGGGUCAGUCAUGAAGCCUGCAUCAGUGUAACCACUUACAAUGAGCUCUUCAUCACCUUCGUACACAAGGAGUAAAUCCUUGGUCCUUCUGAGGUACUUAAGAAUACCCUUGACUGCGGCCCAGUGUUCCAACCCUGGAUCACUUUGGUACCGGCUGCUAACACUUAGCGCAUAGGAAACAUCUGGUCUUGUACAUAGCAUGGCAUACAUAAUAGAACCAACUGCCGAGGCAUAUGGAACAUCAUUCAUUUGUACUCGCUCAUCCAGAGUCCGAGGACUCUGAUUCUUGCAAAGCACUAUGCCAGGUGACAUGGGGAGUAGGCCUUUCUUGGAGUUCUCCAUGUUGAACCUUUUCAACACCUUGUCAAUGUACGUGCUUUGGCUAAGCGCUAUCAGGCGUUUUGAUCUAUCUCUAUAGAUCCUGAUGCCUAAUACAUAUGCCGCUUCGCCUAGGUCUUUCAUUGAAAAACUUUUCUUCAAUGAGUCUUUUAUUUCGCUAAGAAAAUUCACGUCAUUUCCAAUCAACAAUAUGUCAUCCACAUACAAGAUUAGAAAUGCUUUUGCGCUCCCACUAAACUUCUUGUAAACACAAGAUUCUUCGUCAUUCCUGAUGAAGCCAAACUUUUUGACCACUUCAUCAAAACAAAUGUUCCAGCUCCUUGAUGCUUGCUUCAGACCAUAAAUGGCUUUCUGAAGUUUGCAUACCUUUCCAGCAUCCUCAUGAAUGACAAAACCUUCUGGCUGUAUCAUGUAUACAUCCUCUUUGAGGUUUCCAUUUAGGAAAGCCGUUUUGACAUCCAUCUGCCAUAUUUCAUAGUCGAAAUAAGCAGCAAUUGCUAGCAAUAUCCGAACAGACCUAAGCAUAGCUACUGGCGAGAAAGUCUCGUCGUAGUCCACUCCUGGAACUUGUGUGAACCCUUUCGCGACAAGUCUAGCUUUGUGGAUAGUAAUGUUACCAUCCGCAUCCGUCUUUCUUUUGAAAAUCCAUUUACAACCAAUGGGCUUUACGCCUUCUGGGAGUUCUUCCAAGUUCCAAACUUGGUUUUCGUACAUGGAUUCCAUUUCGGAUCUCAUGGCUUUGUGCCAUUCUUUUGAGCUGGGCCCCGCCAUCGCUUCCUUGUAGUGCGCAGGUUCAUCGUCUUCAAGAAUGAAGAUUUCGUUAUGAAACUACUCAGGUGGCUGGAUAGCCCUACCUGAUCUGCGCGGUUCAGUUACAACAUUGUCUAAUGUCUCCGCAUCACAUGCGACAACUUCCGGCUCGGUUGUAGGGAUAAUUAGCGGAAUUUCUUCCCGUUCCUUAGCCAUAUCAACGGUUGCCGAAGAUUCACUAAUCUCAUUGAGUUGUACUGUCCUCCCACUCACUUCUUUAGUGAGAAACUCUUUCUCAAGAAAGACUCCAUGUUUUGCAACAAACACUUUGUUCUCGGAGGCGUGGUAGAAAGAAUACCCAACUGUCUCCUUGGGAUAACCUACAAAGUAACAUUUGUCUGAUCUGGGAUCAAGUUUGCUUGGCUGUAAACGCUUUACAUAAGCUUCACAACCCCAAAUUUUGAAAAACGACAGGUCGGGUUUCUUCCCGUGCCACAUCUCAUGUGGCGUCGUCUCAACAGAUUUAGACGGUGCUUUGUUUAGUGUGUGAGCAGCAGUAAGUAGUGCGUGACCCCAAAAAGAUAUUGGAAGAUUUGUAAGAGACAUCAUUGACCUUACCAUGUCCAACAAGGUUCGGUUACGUCGUUCCGAUACUCCAUUUCUCUAUGGAGUUCCGGGAGGCGUAAGCUGUGAAACGAUUCCAUGAUCACUCAGAUGUUGGCCAAACUCAUGACUAAGAUAUUCGCCUCCGCGAUCAGACCGCAGAAACUUAAUCUUUUUGUUACGAUGAUUUUCUACCUCAUUAUGAAAUUCUUUGAACUUUUCAAAGGUUUCCGAUUUAUGCUUCAUUAAGUAGAUAUAGCCAUACCUACUCAAAUCAUCAGUAAAAGUCACGAAGUAAAAAUAUCCACCCCGUGCGCCUAUGUUCAUUGGACCACAUACAUCACUAUGUAUUAUUUCCAAUAAUUCACCCGCCCGUUCAGGAUGACCCGUGAACGGCGUCUUGGUCAUUUUCCCCAUCAGGCAAGCUUCACAUGUGUCAAAUGAUUCAAAAUCAAGGGACGGUAAAACUCCAUCUUUAUGGAGUCUUUGCAUGCGUUUCUUACCGAUGUGGCCAAGGCAACAGUGCCACAUGAAAGUGGUGGUGGUAUCAGCCUUCUUAAGGCGUUUAGCAUUCACGUUAAGGACAUCAUUUCCACAUUCAAGAUUUAGUAUGAAAAGGCCCCCAACAAUGGGUGCAAAUCCAUAAAACAUAUCCUUACAAUAAAGUGAACAACCAUUGUUCUCAGACUUGUACGAAUACCCAUCGUGUACCAAACAUGAUCCGGAGAUAAUGUUUCUACACAACAGUGGAACAAAAUAACAGUUACUUAGUUCUAAGAUAAAUCCUGAAGGGAGACGUAGAGGCAUAAUGCCGACGGCUUGAGCGGCGAUCCCAGCGCCGUUCCCGACGCGCAUCGCGACUUCAUUCUUUGCUAGCUUGCGCACCUUCUGAAGUCCCUGUAUCGAGUUGCAAAUGUGAGCAACCGAUCCGGUAUCAAAUACCCAUGACUUAGAGUUUUCGCUAGCAAGCAAAACGUCAAUGACAUUAACUUGUAUAACAAUUAUACCUUUUCCGGUUUUCCCGGUCUUCUUAUCUUCCAGAUACUUCUUGCAGUUUCUCUUCCAGUGUCCUGUGCCCUUGCAGUAGAAGCACUCAGUUUCAUUCUUGGCUCCGCCCUUAGAGUUGCUUUGGGAGCCGGUCUUACCGGUGCCCUUGCCCUUCUUUGGCUUGCCUUUCUUCUUUUUGAAACUGGCGGUUUUAUUCACAAGCAACACUUGCUUGCGAUUUUUCCGCAGUCCUCCUUCUGUAGUUUUCAGCAUGGCGAGCACUUCUUCCGGCGUCUUCUCCAUCCCUGUCAUGUUGUAGUUCAUGACAAAACCGUCGUAAGACGGGGGGAGUGAAGAAAGCAACAUGUCCAUCAUAUGGCCAGGUGGAAGUGGAAAUUCUAGGGCUUUAAGCCUUUCAGAAUAGCCAAUCAUUUUGACCACGUGUUCGCCAACUGAACUACCCUCAGCCAUCUUGCAAUCCAUCAAAGCCUUCAUGAUAUCAUAUAGUUCAGACUUUGCGGUUUCCUUGUACAGAGCAUCCAAUUCCCGGAUCAUAUCACGGGCUUUAUGGAAUUCAAAACGUUUUUGAAGCCCUGGACUCAUGCAAGCUAGCAUGAGGCACUGCACUAAGUUGUGAUCAUCAUCCUUAGUGGCCCAGACAUUUUGUUCAUCUACCGGUGCAUCUACCGCCGGUUUAGCUGGAAGAGCAGUUUCAAGCACGUACAAUUUCUUAGCGCUCCUGAGGACAAUCCUCAGGUUACGGACCCAGUCCGCAUAGUUGUUCCCAGUCGUAGCUAACUUCUCUUUCUCUAACAUCGGGCCUAAGUUGAACGCGGUGUUGCGAGCCAUUUGAUCUACAACGAAGACACAAGUUUCACUUAGACUUUGUUUAUAACUAGUGAAUAAACAUUUUAUUCUAAAAUGCACUCCCACUCAAAUCAAUAUCUCUCAAAAUUGAUUAUGAGUGAUUCAAGAUCCGUGUCUUGAUUGUUCGCCAUUGGUGUAACACCACUGAUGACGAAAAUCUUAACCGGUAGGCCAACUUGCCAAUCACAUCACUAUGUGACUCUUGUUCAUCUUUCGAUGCGUGUGUUCCGAGCUCAUGACGGUCAUGCCUGAACGUCAAGACAACCAAGUGAUCUCGCUGCGAGGUCUCAACUCACCCGCCUCACACUUCUCUAAUCGUUCGUACCCGUGUGACACGGCGCACCCCGAAAAGAUAGGUGUCGUGACGGUGCUACACUUGGGAGAACACUAUCUACUUGAUAUUUUUAAGUGAGAGAUCACCCUAAUAAAAGCGACUACCGCGCAAUCAAGAAGGGUGCAUCAUAGGGGACAAACAUCUCAGGCAAUUCAUAAUUAGCAUGAUAUGGUAUAGCCCUUUCUGACGGAGAAGUCUUUCAAUUCUUCGUCUUCGGCAUUUGCGUCGGUGUUCACCUUUGCGAAGAUUGCCACCACCUUGUCGAUGCACCAGAUAAUAUUGCUAUCUCUAUAGCUAAUAAAAUAAGUGCAUUACUUAAGGUUGACACGCAGGUCAUUAAAGUGCAAUCAUAUGGCUCCAGCCAUCAUGCAGAAUCAUGACACGCAGGUCAUGUUAGUUACGACAUAUAGUCAUCUCAUACAUAAUCAAAUUGAAUAUGAGCAUUGCUAUACCACAUCACAUGCACAUCCUGCAAAACCAAGUUAGACGCCUCUAAUCAGUUUAUGCAAAAUUUUAUUUUACGUGGCUUCUAAGGUUUUGACUUAAACCACAGCUACCAACGUUUUAUCAUCAAGUAUGAUUAUUCAAGUUGCUAGAUUAACAUCUCGGGGUGUAUGAAACACGAGAUAAUUAAAUCUCGAGCCCCAUACUAAACUUCGUCAUACGCAUGACCCCCGUGCAGAUCAUAUCUGCAAUGCCCUUUCAUCUGCGAAUUUCAUCUUUCUUUUGACUAUGGCAGAACCCAAAGAACUGAUAGCACUUCCAUGAUCAAUCAGGAUCACGGAUUGCCAGAACUUUGUCAAAUUCCACCAUGCUGUCUCGAGAUUGAGCAAACGCAAAUUCUAGGGAAGCAACAAGAACGUCGGGUAACAGAUUUCAUCUGUCACCCGCAUAAAUAAUUUUCAGCAAUAGAUCUCAUCUACUCCAAAAUUAUAUUAUGCAAUACCCAUACAUCUCCAUGUAUUCUAGAUCGUAACCUGCAUCUACGCAUAGCACGGCUCUUGAUGCCACUGUAGGGUAACUCGACAGAAAACGAAAAUUUUCGGUAUAGCGAGCACGCCCAGGACCACUAUGGAGACUGCAUAUAAGGUUUGAUCUGAUCCGUACCGACUCGAAGCGCAGCGGAAGAAGAGUCGGUGUAGAUCGUCGGUGCAGAUCCCCGCAGCUAGGAUUUACAGCCUCCCAACCGCGAGGAUGUACUCCCUCUCCGGACAGCCCUUCGGGAGGCGGUCGGACAGUCCCCCGGACAAUGUCGCGGAUAGCCCUUCGGGAGGACCCUCGAAACUCGGACGGAGACUCGGACAGCCCUUCAGCAGGACACUCGAACAGCCCCUCGGGCAAGAGAUCGAAACUACAAUCUCUCUACGGGGUUCCACACAUACGGUGUCAGCUAUCCGGUAGGGCUUCGCCGUCCAGAACUAGUUCCUGCCGGAACCCAGACAGCCUUACGGCUCUACGAAACUCUUUUCGUGGGAGGGAGAGAAGAAGCCUGAUAAUGCAUGGCAUGUGUAUGAGAGCAAGGGAUGAGCUUUGGGCUGCCCACUCCUCCUCUAUUUAUAGGAAAGCCAAGGGGUAGGGAUGGCUCACAAAAACCCAAAAUGCCCAUGCAAAUGUCACACAUGAAGGGCAUAAUGGGGAGUGAAGUGGAGCUCCAUGGAGCCCCACACAUGUGGCCGGCCAACCCCCUUGGGCGACCCCCAUGAGGAGCAUGCUUGGCCCCCAAGCCCUUCUAGAAGCCUUUUGGAGAUAUCCCAAAAGGUGACUCACCAUAAAAUAUCCCAAAAAGCACUUUCACUAUUCACGACGACAUUUUUCAGCGUCUGUUCGAACUGAAAAUAUUUAUGUGGGCUUAGAACAUUUCCAGUACCCACCAAAAUUAUUUUCAACGCGUUCCGAAACAAUUCCGGUUUAGUGAUUUUCAUCUGCGAAAAGCAUCUGAAGUGGCUCCGGCAGCUCCGGAACAUUUCCGGUUUUUAUCUCAGAAAAUUCCAAAAAGCUUCCAGAAUGAUUCUGGCAUCCUCCAAGAAUUAUCAGGCAUGUGCCGAAACCAAUUUGACUUAAUGGUGUAUCCCGAAACAACUUUUCGGUAUCAUCGAAACUUAUCCGAUGACCUCUCUCUGCGGUACAAUUCCGCUGUCCGAAACUUUUCGGUGUCCGAAACUUUUUCGGUGAUUUUCUCUCAGACUCCCUGUCUAGUAUUCAGCAGAUAGAUGACCCUUAAGCGUGUGACCCUAUAGGUUCGGUGAAGUAUAGACAUGACCUGGAACCCCUUCCGAUCAAUGAUCAACAUCGGAGCCGUGGACACCCAUAUUGACCCCUAUACCCACACGAAUGAAUAUUCGAGUGAACCUCCAGUUGCAGUGAGCUAUUCCUGUUGCUUCGCGAUAUGUCACAAACACCCGAGGUGAGAUUUAUUGCAUGCCCAUGGACGAACAAUUUGUCCACCAUGCAAGUUACCUCGUUACCGGUUUUGUUCUCUUUUCUCGUUUCCGUGUUCCGGCAUCCCAGUGAUCAAAUCACAAUGUGUCUGGCCAGACGAUGAUGGAUACCAUUACACCGAGAGGGCCCGAGUAUAUCUCUCCAUCGUCGGAGGAGCAAAUCCCAAUCUUGAGCUAUCUUGUUACUUCCUAUACUUUUCCGUGAACCCAAAAGCUGCCGUAAUAGCCACCCAGUUACGGAUGACGUUUAACAAACCCCAAAGUUCACGAAGCAAGCACGAAGGAACUUGAUACUCUCAUGGUCUAAGGAAUUAUGCAAACAUUAACUAUCUCAAUGAUAUUAACCAUAAACUUGUGACGAAGGUAUCUCAUAGCAUAACAUCAAUCCGGGUUGAUUCAACACAAGCGUUCUACCAAACUUGUGCCCUCAAAAUUGCCGGCAUAGUCAUGCCCAUGAUCAGGAAACAGGAUCAUCAUGCAAUACUUGAGCUAGUCUUAGAGGCAAGACUAGGAAUAUAUUUUACCGUUUAUUAUACCACACGUGCAUAUGAGUUCCCUCCGAGCCUCGUGGAUAUUGUAGACUCGAGAAUCAUUGCAGUUAUAGCAUGGAUCAUAAACAUUCAUUACAAACUUGGAGAUACAAAAUAACUGUUAUUACUGCCUCUAGGGCAUAUCUCCUACAUGACUUUCUUCAUCCGGAAAAUCAUGAACUUCUCGAUCCUUGAGAAAAGAUCCCUUCAAGAACUCAUCACCACCGUGCGCAGGCCCCACGGUGGGCACCAACUGUCAUGGUUUUGUCACGGCAGAUGUCCUUAGUGUCAGGACUUAGUCGCGAGGCCAGCGCAUCUAUGUGGUAGCUUGAGAGGGGUUGAGCGGAAUCGAGAGACGCAACACACAAGACAAGGAUUUAGACAGCUUCGGGCCCCUGGAAACAUCAUCCGGUAAUAGCCCUACAUGCUGUUUGUGGCUAGGUCUCAUUAUCAUCAUGAGGGAGUCGCCGGUAAACCGGCUCUUUGUGUCUAGCCCUAGAGAUUGUUUCUUCUUGCUUGUCCCUCUUUGGGGUGCCCUGCCCCUCCUUAUAUAUCUUGAAGGGGCGGGUUACAUGUGUAGUCCUAUUAGGAUUGGGACUAGUCUAUCUCUAAUACAAACCGGAUACAAGUCCUGGUCUUAACUCAUUGUAAGGUAAAUAUUCAUCAUGCCUUUCCUCUUAAACCGGCCCACCAUAGUAUGAACCGGCCUUCAUGAACCGCCCGUUGGGCCACUGGGUCUUGUCGCUCCUCUGACCCACCUACCGGAUUACCAAUGAAUCGUAAACCGCCAGGUCCAAACGGGUCGCCAGUGAAUCGUCAAGUCUUAGCCGGGUCUCAAGUAAACCGCCAAGUCCGGCCGGGUUAUACUUUCCGGCCGGUUUGCGCCGCGAGGUAUAUCCCCGAUAGGAAGUAAGGCCGUGUGAGUGGCCAUGUGAUAAUUUCUUGAGAGCAGCCGGGAUUUACGAAGACUUUUAUUUAUUGGCUGAAACUGCGGGACUCACCAACUUCCUCCACGACCGGAUCGAACAGUAUCUCUUACUUACCAAUACUUUCGUGCAAAACUUUUACUAUCAUCCUAAGAAUUCACCUCCUUCAGUAUCUUUCCAUCUAUAUGAUGAGGCUAAGGAAAUGUCAUUACGUGAUUUUUGCGCAGUUUGUAGAAUACCGUUUGAGGGCAGCUCAGAUGAACCACAGCGUAAAGAUGUGGAAGGUUUUAUCAACACCAUUACUGUAGAGGAACCGAGGAAGGGUUCCGAUGCGAGAAUCACUAGCAUGCAUUUUCCUGUUUUACGCUACUUUGCCAUAUUUGCUAGUCGAUGCUUAAUUGGUCGUGGAAAUAGUGGAAACUUCAGUGUUCCUGAUAUCAUUAUUCUGUUCCAUGCCUUGUUUGGUGAUAACAGUUUUAGUAUGGGUGUCGUUAUUGCUAAACGGCUGAGCCUGAACCGUACAAAGGGCCCCAUUUUUGGAGGUAUCUAUGUUGCACGCCUUGCUAGACAUUUUGCGAUACCUGUUAGGCAUUAUGAGGAAGAUGAAACACUGCUGCCCUCUACCUUUUUAGAUUACAGAAGCAUGGUAGCACAUGAGUUUAUUGUUAACAACGAGAUAAGAUGCUUCUGUAUAACCUGAGAUUUAGUAAGAAACACAAUGAGAUUAUUACCCUGCCCGCGCCUUCUUUGUUUGAUUUAACUGCAGGUCAUUACCUCGUCUUACCGUCGGCCGUGUACGCGCACCGAGGCCACACACCGCUCCAGAGCCUGAGGCGGAACCUCCACUGGACCCUUAUCGUCCAUCCUGUUAUCAGUGGGAUCCGGAGGAGAUCGCUAGUCAGUGGCAAUACGAUGAUACUCCUCAUUACACCAGGGAGAGUAGCCGCGAUCCAUUGGCAUUAGACCAACUUAGGCCAAAAGCCUAAGCUUGGGGGAGUGUGUAUUUCUCACCGACUUUACAUUCAUGUUCACACAUUUAUUCUAGUUGUCGGUGCUCAUACUUUUCAUUGUAUUAUCCAUGCUAGUUUAAUAUAUUUUUCCAGCUUUCUUCUUGUGUGUUUGAUAAACCUUAAGAAAAACCAAAAAAAAAUUAGUUAGUUUAAUUUCAAUGCUUGUAGAAUUAAAAAGAAAACCCCAAAAGAUUUCUCAUUUUUCUUUUACUUGUUGGGAGCUUUCCCGUGUAAAUAGUUUUAUUUCUUUUUCGCUUCUUUUGGGGGUCGAGAGUAGAAGACCAUAAUGAAAAUGUUUAGUGGCUCUAAUAUGCAUGAUUGUUGAUUUAACUUAGAGCCCAUAUUACUUUGUCUCCUCUCUUGAAUUGAAUGCUUGCAGAUUCCAGCUUAGUCCAAUGCACGCGCACUAUUAUUAUUAUACACACCGUUCGGUCGUGCGAGUGAAAGGCAAUAAUGACGAAUAUGAUGGACUGAUUGGGAUGAGAGAAGCUGUUAUGAACUCGACCUCUCUUGUUUUUGUAAAUAUGAUGAGUUCAUCGUUCCUGAUUCAGCUCAUUAUGAAUAAACAUGUUUGCAAUUACAUUUAGAGAUUAUAGUUGCUUAUGCCAUGCUUAAUUAGCUAUGAGUUACAAUGGUUUACCUUGCAUGCCAACAUGCUAUUAAAAUAGUUGUGAUGUGGUAUGAUGGGAUGGUAUCCUCCUUUGAAUGAAUUGAGUGACUCGACUUGGCACAUGUUCACGCAUGUAGUUGAAAACAAAUCAACAUAGCCUUCAUGAUAUUUAUGUUCAUGGUAGAUUAUAUCCUACUCAUGCUUGCACUCGGUGUAAAUUAAUUUUAAUGCAUGUUCAUGACUGUUGUCGCUCUCUCAGUUGGUCGCUUCCCGGUCUUUUUGCUAGCCUUCACCUGUACUAAGCGGGAAUAUUGCUUGUGCAUCCAAAUUCCUUAAACCCCAAAGUUAUUCCAUAUGAGUCCACCGUACCUUCCUAUAUGCGGUAUUUACCUGCCGUUCCAAGUAAAUUUGUAUGUGCCCAACUCCAAACCUUCAAAUGAAAUUAUGUUUUGUAUGCUCGAGCAGCUCAUGUAUCAACUAGGGUUGUCUAUAUCUUCCAUGCUAGGUGGGUUAUUCUCAAGAGGAGUGGACUCCGCUCCUCAUUCACGACAAAAUGGCUGGUAACCGGGAUGCCCAGUCCCAUGCUUUAAGCAAAUCAAAUUAAAAUAAUUACAAACAAAACUCCCCCGGGACUCUUGUUAGUUGGAGGCACUCGUUGUUUCAAGCAAGCCAUGGAUUGAUGCUUGUUGGUGGAGGGGGAGUAUAAACUUUACCAUUCUGUUUGGGAACCGCCUAUAAUGUAUGUAGCAUGGAAGAUAUUGCCAUAUCUUGGUUGUUGCGUUGACAGUGAAAGUAUACCGCUCAAAAUAUUAUUCAUCUCUAUUUUAAAACUGAGCUCUGACACCUCUACAAAUCCCUGCUUCCCUCUGCGAAGGGCCUAUCUAUUUACUUUUAUGUUGAGUCAUCACCUUCUUAUUAAAAAGCACCCGCUGGAGAGCACUGCUGUCAUUUGCAUGCAUUACUAUUAGUUUAUAUUGGGUAUGACUUGACUGGAUCUCUUUUACCAUGAAUUACAAUGUUUAGUCAGUCCUUGAUCUUUAAAGAUGCUCUGCAUUUAUGUUUUGCGGUCUCAGAAAGGGCUAGCGAGAUACCAUCUUGUUAUAUCAUAUUAUGAUUGUUUUGAGAAAGUGUUGUCAUCCGAGUUUUAUUAUUAUAGCUCGCUAGUUGAUUAUGCCAUUGAUAUGAGUAAACAUGGGACCUAAGUGUUACUGUUAAUAUGGUUAGUUCAUAAUCUUUGCUGAAAACUUGAAUGCUGGCUUGAUAUAUUUACAACAACAAGAGCAAAUAGAGUUUGUCAAAGUUUUUUCUUUAUCACUUUCAGUUUGUCAACUGAAUUGCUUGAGGACAAGCAAAGGUUUAAGCUUGGGGGAGUUGAUACGUCUCCAACGUAUCUACUUUUCCAAACACUUUUGCCCUUGUUUUGGACUCUAACUUGCAUGAUUUGAGUGGAACUAACCCGGACUGACGCUGUUUUUCAGCAGAAUUGCCAUGAUGUUAUCUUUCUGCAAAAAACAAAAGUUCUCGGAAUGACUUGGAAAUCCACGGAGAUUAUUUUUGGAAAAUAAGAAAACUACUGGCGAAAGAAUCAAGGCCAGGGGGCCCACACCCUGUCCAGGAGGGUGGGGGCGCACCCUCUCCCCCUGGGCGCGCCCCCUGUCUCCUGGGCACCCUGGAGCUCCACCGACCUCAACUCCAACGCUAUAUAUUCCGUUUCGCGGAGAAAAAAAUCAGAGAGAAAGUUUCAUCGCGUUUUACGAUACGGAGCCGCCGCCAAGCCCUAAUCUCUCUCGGGAGGGCUGAUCUGGAGUCCGUUCGGGGCUCCGGAGAGGGGAAUUCAUCAUCGUCGUCAUCAUCAACCAUCCUCCAUCACCAAUUUCAUGAUGCUCACCGCCGUGCGUGAGUAAUUCCAUUGUAGGCUUGCUGGACGGUGAUGAGUUGGAUGAGAUUUAUCAUGUAAUUGAGUUAGUUUUGUUAGGGUUUGAUCCCUAGUAUCCACUAUGUUAUGAGAUUGAUGUUGCUAUGACUUUGCUAUGCUUAAUGCUUGCCACUAGGGCCCGAGUGCCAUGAUUUCAGAUCUGAACCUAUUAUGUUUUCAUGAAUAUAUGUGAGUUCUUGAUCCUAUCUUGCAAGUCUAUAGUCACCUAUUAUGUGUUAUGAUCCGACAACCCCGAAGUGACAAUAAUCGGGAUACUUCUCGGUGAUGACCGUAGUUUGAGGAGUUCAUGUAUUCACUUAGUGCUAAUGCUUUGUUCCGGUUCUCUAUUAAAAGGAGGCCUUAAUAUCCCUUAGUUUCCACUAGGACCCCGAUGCCACGGGAGGGUAGGACAAAAGAUGGCAUGCAAGUUCUUUUCCAUAAGCACGUAUGACUAUAUUCGGAAUACAUGCCUACAUUACAUUGAUGAACUGGAGCUAGUUCUGUGUCACCCUAGGUUAUAACUAUUGCAUGAGGAAUCGCAUCCGACAUAAUUAUCCAUCACUGAUCCAAUGCCUAUGAGCUUUUCACAUAUUGUUCUUUGCUUAUUUACUUUUCUGUUGCUACUGUUACAACCACUACAAAACCCAGAAAUAUUACUUUUGCUACUGUUAUCAUUACUAUCAUAUUACUUUGCUACUAAAUACUUUGCUGCAGAUACUAAGUUAUCCAGGUGUGGUUGAAUUGACAACUCAACUGCUAAUACUUGAGAAUAUUCUUUGGCUCCCCUUGUGUCGAAUCAAUAAAUUUGGGUUGAAUACUCUACCCUUGAAAGCUGUUGUGAUCCCCUACACUUGUGGGUUAUUAGUACCUCAGCCACCGUACGUUGGGCAGAGAUUUGAUUCAUUCGCAGAAGAAAAGGAAUUCUACCAGACAUAUGCAAAGUUCCAUGGGUUUGCGGUCAACACCGAAUACCAUAGGAAAAUUAAGAAAACUAACGAGUACAGCAGAGGUGAGAUGAGGUGCUACAAGGCACGAAGGAACAAGAAGGGGAAAGGUGUUGCGCCUGUCGUUCCGAAAUGAAAGAGAGGUAUCAUUCUCAAGACGGAAUGCCCUGUCCGGUGUAAGCUAAACGUAGAUGGAGCACGGUGGGUGGUCACUGAAUAUUUUGACGAGCACAAUCACGAACUCAUAAAGAAGUUCGACCUGGUAAAAUUUCUGACCGCCCACAGAGGAUUCACCCCCCUCGAGAAGAAAUUCAUGAAGCUGCUACAUGAUUGUAACGUCGGUCCAUCAAGAAUGGUCCAGAUACUAUCACUCGUCCACAGCAAAAAAGGGAAUCUGAGUAGCAUGCCCUACAUACCAGCUGACAUCACAAACCUAAAGGCAAAGUACCGUAGAGAGAGCAAGUUGGCUGACAUAGAGGCCACAAUGGCCUACUUCGAUGAGAAAGCGAAGGAAGAUCCAGAUUUCUUCUACAGGAUAAGAUUGGACGAUGAGGACCAUGUCAGGAACAUGUAUUGGGUGGAUGGUGCUGCAAGAAGAGCCUACAAACAUUUCCGAGAUUGCACUUCAUUCGACGCGACAUAUCUCACUAAUAUGUACAAGAUGCCAUGCGCUCCAUUCAUAGGAAUAAAUAACCACAAUCAGUCAUUGCAGUUCGGAUGCGGGCUCGCUCGGAAUGAAGACACGUAUGGGUACACUUGGCUGUUCAAGACCUUCUUGGAGUGCAUGGAUGGACUUGCUCUGAUGAACAUAAUAACAGACCAGGAUUUUAGCAUGCGUGCAGGCAUAGAGGAGGUCUUUCCGUUGGCAGUGCACAGGCACUAUAGGUGGCACAUUAUAAAGAAGGCUGAGGAGACGCUAGGACCAUUCUUUGCUGACCGUCCAGAGCUACACAAGGCAUUCGAGCUGUGCGUGGACCACAGCUUGACGGUGGAGGAGUUUGAAAGGAGCUGGAUGGCCAUGAUUGAAACAUAUCAAGUCCAAGACAACGAGACUCUUGCUAGCCUGUGGGAGAAGCGAAUGUACUGGGUGCCGGCCUACUUCAUGCAGUGCUUCUUCCCGUUUCUGCGGACUACGCAGCGCAGCGAGGGGUUCAAUGUUGUUUUGAAGCGGUACGUGAGCCCUGACAACUCAUUGCUACAGUUUGCCAAGCAAUACACGGCUUUGCAACAAAAAAUACUGGGAUCUGAGCUACAGCAAGAAGCGAACACCGCGCUAAAGCAGCCAAAAUUGCUAACGUAUUUACCGAUGGAGAGGCAAAUGAGCAAGAUAUACACCAACAAGAUCUUUAACAAGUAAGUCAGUUGUGUUGCAAUCUUAUUUGCACAAGCAUGAAGGUAGUAGGUGCCAUAUAGAAUGCAAUGCAGUUGAAAAGCUUAUUUGAAAAUGAUGAUUUCUUGAAAAGUAGUCAUUGAGUACGGAGUAACCAUGAUAUGUAGUUGUCAUGUUUAAAGAACUACUGUUUGCCAUGUUUACUCAACUGCAGUUGCCAUGUUUAAUGAAAUGCAGUUGCCAUGUUUAAUACACUGUACUUCCAUUGGGCAUGUUGGUAUGGAAAUGCCAAUGCCAAUUGAAAAUGUUAUGCAGUUGCCAUGUUUAAUGAACUGCAGUUGCCAUGUUUAAUGAACUACAGUUGCCAUGUUUAUUGAACUAUAGUUGCCAUGUUUAAUGAACUGCAAUUGCCAUGUUUAAUGUACUGCAGUUGCCAUGUUUAAUGUACUACAGUUGCCAUGUUCAAACGAAAUGUACUUCUAUUUGCCACGACAACAUAAGGUGCAAAAAAAAACAGCACACAAUAGUUUAACAAAAAACACACAAAACUUGCAGAUUCUAGGAAGAAAUAAAGUGUGCCAGCAUGUUCACGGCUUUCCAGGUGGACGAAGAUACGUUCAAGGUGUGUUCUAUUUUGGGCAUGUCAGAUUCAGAACCUGAAGACCCGGACAAAGGAAGGAACUACUUCGUGAAAGCCUCGAUAGGCCAAGGCGAAUACUACUGCCAAUGCUGCAAAUUCGAACGGGGCGGCAUUGUGUGCUGUCACAUACUAAAAGUAAUGGGCAUGAACGCGGUGACACGUAUGCCCAGCCAUUUCAUAAGGCGGCGAUGGACUUGGGACGCUGACGACGCAUUGGCGCUGCAGACAACAAACGCAGUUUUGGCUGUGCAUGACGAGAGACCGGAGUCAACCAUGGAAGCCAUGAGGCACGUUGUGUUGACAAAGAACUAUGCUGAACUAAUUGAUGACGCGUGAAAGAGUGAUGAGACAACGAGGGUCGCAGAAAAACACAGGAAGGCCCUGAAAAGAGAGCUUGGUGAGAUCAAGAAGAGGAAAGCUGAGGAAGCCUUACACAGGUUCCCCCGCACAUCAAGUGUGCCUUCGUCCACGGGGCCAUCAUCUGAAAACUCGGAGAUAGGAUCUGGAACAGCAAGCACACAAACCCAGGUCAGGAACCCGCCCUGUUCCAUCACAAAGGGGCGUCCAAAAGACAUAAGAUACAAAUCGGGAUUGGAGCUUCAAGCAAAACACAAGAAAACAAAGAAAGGGACGGGCAAUCCGUAAGCAACAUUGGAGCAUUGUGACAUGGUCCUUGGUGACAUUUUAUUUUGGAAUCUAGAUGUUCUUAAUUUUUUAAAAAUGGGAGAAUGACUCUUGAGGGGCAUCAGAAGUUGAAGGAAAAUGCCAUGAAUGGAUAACUGCAGUUGCCACGUGUAUGGUACUUAAUUUGCCGUGUUAUGUAUACUUAAUCUGCCAUGUUAUGUAUAGUUAAUCUGCCAUGCUAUUUUAUACUGAAUCUGCCAUGCUAUUUUAUACUAAAUCUGCCAUGAUAUUUUAUACUAAACCUGCCAUGUUCUAUGUACUGGAUCUGCCAUGUUAUGUAUACUGGAUCUGCCAUGUUAAGUAUACUGGAUCUGCCAUGUUAUUUAUACUGAAUCUGCCGUGUUGUUUAUACUGAAUCUGCCAUGUUAGUUCUACUGAAAUACGCCAUGUUAUUUGUAAUGACUAUGCAUCACGUAUAUUUCCGUGUUCAUUCAACGCAUUUUAGUCACACAUAAUGUGUUGUGUGCAAUCUAUGGGAAACAAGUUGAAAAGCGUCACGUGCAGCAACCGCAAAAAGGUUACGGCUACAUGAUCAAACUACCAUGCUAGCCGGUACAGUUAGCGAUGAAAAAAAAGAACCAAACAGACAAAUGAAAAACGACGAUAAUUUUCACUAACUAUGUCUGAUGAACUACAUUUGCCAUGUUUUAAAACAUCGUAGACGCAUUCGAAACACCAAACUGGUGCUACCAACGAUGAAAGCAUAAUAAUAAUGAUAAACAUAAAUGUAUCUGCUGUCAUGCCUAAAUAUGUUCACAUCCACACAUAUAUUACAGAAAAUAUUCAAAUGUUGCCCACACACCACCACUACAUGCUAGGCUACGCGGGGUUGCAGUCAUAACAUAGCACACGGACAUAGUUUUGAAAAGAACAAAGGUAGUACCUUACAUUCCUCGGCAACAGAAUGUAAGGUAGGCGUUCGGUAUAGAGCACCACGUGAUCACUUGUACUUCUUGGUGACUUUCUUGACAGCUUCCUCUACGAACUCACGUGCUCCGGACCGCUUGUUGAAAUCUACAUUCGUCAACCAGUUCCAUGUGUAAAUUUUCCGAAGCUCAACGACCAUUGCAGCUGUGACAACAGGAACCAGUCUACCUUCCCACUUUGCAAGGUAUUCCAACGUGUGAAAGCCACAGUCCGUCCUGUACAAGAAAAGAAUCAGGUGAACUCGCAAAGGACAGAGAUAACAAUGAUAAACUUCAAUUCAAAUGUAACAAAGAGGGUUAGCAUUGGUGUAGAGGACAGAUGAAGAAAGAGAUGGGAAAUUACUUGUUCCCUUGCUUCGUAGUCACCACGUACUCAAUUGGAAAAUGUCUGAUCUGGACCUUUGAGUGUUCGUAGUGAUGGUUCCAUGUCUCUUUGAGGUUGUUGAUGAAGUAUUCAGCAUGCGUAGUAAGGCCUGCAUCAGCUGCCGAACGCAUUGAAUCAAGCACCUCAAAACGUUGGUUCUUCAAGUCAAGGCAGAUCGCGUAGUGGUGACCACACUUGUCGUGCGGGUCAUGUGGUGCAAGCUCCUGGAACAUGGGGAACAGGACCUGCAAGUAAAAUGAAGGAAAGAAGAAGCAGAUUUCACAUGAAGAACAGAAAAUGGUGUAAUUGGGAAAAUGACGUGUAAGGAUAUCACCGGUUGCGGUAAGAGGCACAUGAGUGACAUAAAGCAGCAAGGGGCCAAAAAGUAGAAUCACAUAGAAAUGUUUAGUUAUAGUGGGUACUUAUAAGAAGUUGCCAUCCAUGUAUGAACAAAGUUGCCCUGUAUUUUACUUUGAAGUUGCCACAUAGUUUGUACGGGGAUGCAAAUCAAAAGUCAGUUUACAUGGCAGCUGUUGCCACAUGAAACAGCUGCCACAUAAACAGGGUGUAGCUACUGGCAAAAAACAUACCAUGGGAGGAAAAAAUGUGCAAAAAGGGAAGGAGUACUCACACAUUUCUUCAUUGUGAGCUUGAAUUCACCGUGCGCGGCAAAAUGCUUCCUCGGGAUUUUGUGGUGGAAGUCACCAUCCCAUAUUUUGCAGGUCACACUGUAAUGCAUGAUUGUUUUGUCGGGAGACAUAUCCAUAUGCUUGUUGAUGAAGUCAAUCCCACAUGCAACUACAUUCAUCAACAUUUUACCGAGUGGCCUCACGGACUCGGCAAGAUCACCCAGGUCGACGUACGUCGCUUCGCAUUGUAUGACCUUGGUUCUGUCCAAACAUGAGUUGUAUGAAAAUGAUAUAACAUGAAAGAAUCAUGUCUACUAAGUAAAAAAAGAAGAGAUAAAACGUAAACGGAUCAUAUCUAGAAAGUAGAAAAAAGAUGAAUGGUAAAAAGAGCAAAGCAAAAUGAGAGGUUAUGUGGUGUGGUCAUUACGCUUUCAGCUCCUUCAUGUGCUUGCUGCUGGCCCUCGCAUUUCCAAAUCGCUUGACAAUAUCGUACAGCUGGUUCUGCUCCUUUGUGGCCUUGACUUCGGGCUCGUAGUCAUCCGCGGGAGGUGGGUGAACUACCCUCUGCUGCCUCACAGAACCAGGGGUGGCACUUCUAAUGGUAUCCUCAGAUACCGUCUCAACAGGCACGUUGGAACUUGAUUGCCCCUGACCUCGUGAGGACCUCCUCUGCAAUGCUGCCUCCUCAAUCCCGCGGUAAACUUCAUCAAGUGACGGCGAAAUCUCCUCAGGGGUGCCUGCAAGGAUCAAAAAGUGGGUUAGGAUACCUGGAAAACAAAACAAAUGUAGUGUGAAAAGAAAAAGGUGCAUGUUAUGAAAUGUAGGUACAAAAAGUAGGGAGUUGCCAUGUGGAGGCAAAUCCAGUUGCCAUGUGUAUUGCACUAUAAUUGCCAUGUGAAAGCAACUGCAGUUGCCAUGUUGUGUCAACUCCAGUUGCCAUGUGGUUGCCGAAUCAAAAAUGCAGCAUGGAAACAAAAAUGCAGGUGACAUGUUGCAGCAAAUCCAGUUGCCAUGUGUAGUGCAUUGUAGUUGCCAUGUGAGAACAAGUACAGUUGCCAUGUUGUAUCAACUUCAGUUGCCAUGUGGUUGCCGAAUGGAAAAUGUAGGUGACAUGGUGCAGCAAAUCCAGUUGCCAUGUCAUCACAUAACAGUUGCCAUCACAGGUGAGAACCCCAAAAAAAUUGCUUGGGAAAAAAGUCAGACUACACAGAUGUAUACAAGAAAAUGAUAAGCGCAGAAGAAAUGUACCUUGGAUGAUCGGCUCUGCGAACUUGACAGCCUUCCUGCCCUCGACCAUUGGCUGCGCCAUCAUUGCGGCCAUGCCUCCCGGGAAAGCAAAGGCAAAUGGCGUAGGAUCUUGCACCACUGGUUGAUCUUGACUGAUGCCAAGGCUAAAGCUCGGUGGGGUGAAGGCCAUUGGGUGCCUCUCAUGCCUACUGGCCGGACCACGAACAACUUGCGGGGCAGAAUCCAAGGGUGAGAGAUCAACAAACAUAUCUGAAUCGGCCGCUGCAGAAUCAUCGGGCUUAUUCGUAGGGCGGGGCGUGUUGUCAGCGGUAUCAGCCGCAGCUUUCUAGACAAUCUUCUUGUUUGGGCUGUAGGGGACACCAACAUUGACUGGGAGCUUGGAAGUGCGCAGAUUUAGGCUGGGGUUCUCCACUGCGGGUAAAGACGCAGUCUGCUCCGGACGUUCACCUCCAUCACUCGUGCCCGGCUUGACACCUGCAUCAGUUGUACUCCGGUCUUCCGGUUUCUCCAUAACAUUGCUUUUGGCAGGUGGUGGGAACAGUGUGGAUGCAGGAACAUAACCAGACUCAUCUCUGCUGCUCCUAGCUACAGCCGGUGCGUUGGGUAUGUCUGUUGAUUGCUUGCGGGGGCUACGAUGCCUAGGUGGAAGACCAGCUCGCGAAACAAUCACCUUAGCAACCUCUGCACCACCAGGAGCUGGAGCUGUUGUGCCAAGACUCUCACCUGUAGAUGGCAUAUCAUUAUGAACUGCCGCCUCAGCCACUUCUGUCGUGGACACAGGAGUGCCACCACGCAUGCGCUUGGAAUCCGUGUCAGAUGAGCGGGAAUCUUCCUUGCUUAGGUUGGUCUCGGGGGCGUCCACUUCAACGCUUGCUGAUGGGGUGGCAUGGCUCACAGCAGCAUCCUUCAUUGCCAGCAGAGUGGGCAAUAUUUCAGCAGUCCUGGCAGAUACCGACUCGUCACUCCCCGAUGUAUGGAUGCCUGUUGUUGUAGCCUGCACAUCUGCAACCGGCGGAGAUGGUCGGCCACUUGCGUCAGAGUUAGUGGGAACAGUUGACGGUGCAGCAGCAGUUUUGUCGACUGGCGCCUCAUGAACAUAUGAGUUGCCACCUGUUGACAACUUUGAAUGAAGGCGUUCGAGUUGGUCCCUAAUGAUAUGCUUGGCUGCGCGUGUAGUAGUCUUCUUCACCCUGCAAAAAGAAAAGCACAUGAAAAGGUAUUAGAAAUGAACAAAAAAUAUUUGCCACGGUAGAAAUCUUAAAAAAUGAAAAGUAGGUGGAAAGCUGGUAGUUGCCAUGUAGUUGGAAUAAGAGUUGCCAUGUGGCAUAGUUAGCAGUUGCCAUGCAAAACCAGCAAGAGUUGCCAUGCUAGCCAACUUGAAGAAUGAAAAAAAUGUCUGAUCUGCCAGGAAUGCAAUUUCAAAACUAGGUAUCGGAUGAGCACACAAGCCAAUGGAAAGAUGGUAGUUGCCAUGUAGGUACAAUAAGAGUUGCCAUUUGGCCUAGAUAUUAGUUGCCAUGCAAAAACAAGCAGGAGUUGCCAUGCAGUUAAAAAAAGAGAUCAUUGGGAAAACAGCAGUUGCCAUGUGGGACUGAUGACAGUAGUGAAGGAAAUAUGCCCUAGAGGCAAUAAUAAAGUUAUUAUUUAUUUCCUUAUAUCAUGAUAAAUGUUUAUUAUUCAUGAUAGAAUUGUAUUAACCGGAAACAUGAUACAUGUGUGAAUACAUAGACAAACAGAGUGUCACUAGUAUGCCUCUACUUGACUAGCUCGUUGAUCAAAGAUGGUUAUGUUUCCUAGCCAUAGACAUGAGUUGUCAUUUGAUUAACGGGAUCACAUCAUUGGGAGAAUGAUGUGAUUGACUUGACCCAUUCCGUUAGCUUAGCACUCGAUCAUUUAGUAUGUUGCUAUUGCUUUCUUCAUGACUUAUACAUGUUCCUAUGACUAUGAGAUUAUGCAACUCCCGUUUACCGGAGGAACACUUUGUGUGCUACCAAACGUCACAACGUAACUGGGUGAUUAUAAAGGUGCUCUACAGGUGUCUCAGAAGGUACUUGUUGGGUUGGCGUAUUUCGAGAUUAGGAUUUGUCACUCCGAUUGUCGGAGAGGUGUCUCUGGGCCCACUCGGUAAUGCACAACACUAUAAGCCUUGCAAGCAUUGCAACUAAUGAGCUAGUUGCGGGAUGCUGUAUUACGGAACGAGUAAAGAGACUUGCCGGUAACGAGAUUGAACUAGGUAUUGAGAUACCGACGAUCGAAUCUCGGGCAAGUAACAUACCGAUGACAAAGGGAACAACGUAUGUUGUUAUGCGUUUUGACCGAUAAAGAUCUUCAUAGAAUAUGUGGGAGCCAAUAUGAGCAUCCACGUGCCGCUAUUGGUUAUUGACCGGAGACUUGUCUCGGUCAUGUCUACAUAGUUCUCGAACCCGUAGGGUCCGCACGCUUAAAGUUAGAUGCUGGUUAUAUUAUGAGUUUAUGUGUUUUGAUGUACCGAAGGAGUUCGGAGUCCUGGAUGAGAUCAGGGACAUGACGAGGAGUCUCGAAAUGGUCGAGGCGUAAAGAUCGAUAUAUUGGACGACUAUAUUCGGACUUUGGAAAGGUUCCGAGUGAUUCGUGUAUUUUUUGGAGUACCGGAGAGUUAUGAGAAUUCGUAUUGGGCCUUAAUGGGCCAUAUGGGAAAGGAGAGAAAGGCCCCAAAGGGUGGCCGCACCCCUCCCCAUGGACUAGUCCGAAUUGGACUAGGGAGAGGGGGCGCCCCCUUCCUUCCUUCUCCUUCUCCCUUCCCUUCUCCUACUCCAACAAGGAAAGGAGGAGUCCUACUCCCGGUGGGAGUAGGACUGCCCCCUUGGCGCGCCCUCCUCCUAGGCCGGCCGCCUCCCCCCUUGCUCCUUUAUAUACAGGGGCAGGGGGCACCCCAAAGACACAACAAUUGAUUGUUUGAUCUCUUAGCCGUGUGCGGUGCCCCCCUCCACCAUAGUCCACCUCGAUAAUAUCGUAGCGGUGCUUAGGCGAAGCCCUGCGUCGGUAGAACAUCAUCAUCGUCACCACGCCGUCGUGCUGACGGAACUCUCCCUCGAAGCUUUGCUGGAUCGGAGCUCGCGGGACGUCAUCGAGCUGAACGUGUGCUGAACUCGGAGGUGCCGUGCGUUCGGUACUUGGAUCGGUCGGAUCGUAAAGACGUAUGACUACAUCAACCGCGUUGUGCUAACGCUUCCACUUUCGGUCUACGAGGGUACGUGGACAACACUCUCCCCUCUCGUUGCUAUGCAACCAUGAUCUUGCGUGUGCGUAGAAAUAUUUUGAAAUUACUACGUUCCCCUUCAAGUAGCCCAUGUGGCAAGCUAAACAGAUGCAUUGAAAAAUAAAAAAUAUAGCACUAUGGCAAUGAAAGGACAGGGAAAACCUACUUCUUGACUGGCUUUCUCAUGUCUGGCAACACGACAGGAUCCCCGGUGUUGGACGUCGUCGUACGAGGAGAUGACCUGGUGGAAGGGGUGUCACCAGCAAUGGGGGCACCUUUGUUCAAUCGAGCAGAAACACGGGUUGGCGUUGGUGCCUGUUUCUUCGUAACUACUCGUCCACCAGCUGUCGCCUCACUGCACGUAUAAGAUAGUGGCAAAAAAAAGGUGGCAAGUGUCAGACAGGAAACUCAUUGCCGCGCUUAGCAAAACAAAUGCAAAAAAGGGUCAGUCUGUUCAAAAAAUAUAGACAAAACAAAACACUAAAAUAGAAGUCGAACCUCCUCCUAGCAGCUACGGGAUCGGUCCUAGACUCUUGCCAGGAGAACCCUGCCAACAUCCUCUGGAGCCCUCCCCCUCUUUGAGGGCAACACCCCCUCGCCUCUCGCAGCUGUAUGUUCUUUGACUCUCCGGUGAGGGGACAUCUGGUGCAGCCUUGCCCUUCUUACCACCUGCAUGAACUUCAACAUGUUCAUCAUCAUCAGUGUCGUGCUGCACGUUCUCCAUGUCAUCGUCAUUGUCCUUGUUGAGAGCAGCAUCUCCAUCUAGUUCAUCUUGUGUGUCAGCAAGAUCUUGGGAGCUGUUGUAGUCGUACCGGCCACGGCAACCAGUUGGCCGAUGUGUUCGUUCUGCAACAAAUGUAGUGAACUGCCUCGCAACCGCGUCUCUGUCAGAGCCAUUUAGGGACGUCCAACCCUCAACCAACUUCCCGAGCAAGCUGGUCAUUCCGGAUGCAAACUGCCCAAUUAGAUGCUCAACAGGUGCCCUCGCCUAUGCACGAAACAAGAAGCUGCAAUAACCAACCAUAUUAGAGUCACUUGCACAAGAUCAAAAUUAUCCAAAGCAAUCACAGAUAUAUAUCCUUGAUUAGCUCAGUAGGGCAAGACGGAGCUGAGUGCACGUCCAUCCACUUUCCAAAGUUUUGAGGCCCCCCAAACACGCUGUAGUCUAUAGCAUGCUUGGCCAUCAGCUGGAAAUAACCAAAAAAUAGCUAGGAUGUAAGAGAGAAAAUGAUGAACACUAACUAACAGUUCAUGUAUUGCAAAUAAAACAAAAAAAGAGGAAGAGACUAGAAGUUUCAGCACGGAUGACAGAGUUGCCAUGUGGAGUGAGACAUGGAUACCAUGCGCAGACAGCCAUGGCUAACAAGGUAGUCAUCUCUUGUUAGCCACAGACGGUUGCCACAUGAGGAUUUUUUCAUAUGUUAUGCAGCAAAAAAUUGUAAGAAUGCCGUGUAGAGAAAGAAACCAGAACUAACCUGCAGUUUUCCAUAUUUGGUAUCAGUUACCCUGUCUGCAGCAAGCACAGCCUUGACAGCAUCGUAAGUCCACGCAGAAACAGCAAACUUGUGUGUAGGAGGCGGGCCUCCUGUCCCAGUGAAGUCCACGGUAGACAGAUCAAGACAGUCGACGUACAUGAGCUGAUGUACAACAAUUUUAAAAGGAAAAAAAUCAGUUGCCAUCAUGGUAUUUUACAAAAACAAGCUAAUGUAUGUUCCUACAAUCAUCAAGUUGAAGUGCAUGAAAAGAAAAGAAGAAGUUGCCAUCUGUCUGUGCUAGUUGCCAUCAUGGUAUGAUGGCAGUUGCCAUCUUGUCAUGAUGGCAGUUGCCAUCUUGUUAUGAUCAUGGUUGCCAUGCAUAAAUAAAGGUGUUAAAGAGUGUUCACAAAAAGGACUGGUAAAAAAUACCAUUAAAUGCAGUCGACAACCCUUCUGGUACAUCUUGUUUGAGAAUGCAUCAUGCAGGAAGUCGGCGAUGAACUUACACCAAUUCAUGUUCUUCACAUCUUUCAGUUUCGCCUGCACGGCACAAUUUUCAGGACAACAAGUUGACGCAUCAGAAAUCAAAUGGAAAAACAUCAAAAAAAUUGGCAGUGAGUAGCUUACACAUGACAUCGGAGCCAAAAGAUUGAAGGAAAUAAUGGAGUAUAGAUAGAUCAUUCACCGGGAUGGGGAAGCAUUUGUUGCUUGGGCGAAGAGAAGUGGUCGGCGCGAAACCAGCUGAGAUGAGGUACAUGAGUAGCUUGAUCUUAAAAACCUCGCCAUGGGUUGUCAUGGCCUGCAGCGAAUCUGCCAGGAAAGUCGUGUUCGGCAUGGAUUCCAACCCAGGAAACAAACGGGGGAACAAUGUUUCCUCGAUCUUAUUAUUGACCUCGUACGGGACUUUGAUUUCUCCACGGGGCACACCCAAAGUGCAGAACACGGAUUCCUCGUCCAACAGCAGUCUUCCACGUCCCGGAAUCACAAAUUCCCUGGAGGCGGGGUCGUAAAUCUCACCAAGCCAGUCGCAUACAGGGUUCACUAGAUUCUUGCACCGGACAUCCAUCAGAGCCUGCAUACCCAUCUCAGCAGCAGCUCCCUUCUGAUCGUCGGUAAAUCUGUCGGUCAAUGAAGUCAGGCGUUCCUGCGAGGCCCUAUUGCGAGUACGUUUCUUCUUCUGCAAAACAGACAAAUGAUCAUUUGUUGCCAUGUUUUCACUGUCAUGAAGAUUUAGUUCAUAACAGACGAUUGCAAGCUCGAUGUGGCAUCCAAAAACAUAUGCAGGGGAAGGAGGGGUGUGGACAGUUACCUCAUCGCCGUCUUUUCUCCGUCCAGUUGCCUGAUUCUGCUGCGGUGCAUCCAUGAAAUCAUCAUCAUCGUUUUGAUGAUCGCCGCGAGCAAUUCUGCUGAGGUAAGAACAAACCAAAUUGUUAGGGUGGAAAUGAAAUGUAGGAAGUAAGCAGUUGCCACCUAACAGAAUGUGCUUGCCACAUGGGCUCAAUUGAAAUGGCAAAAAUAGUGAAGGCAAAUAUCACACGAACACACACGCACCCAUAUGAUUGUCGAAAACAUAAAUGUGGUAAUUAAACACAUUAGCUUCAUUUGAAAAAUGUACAGAUCGUAAUGCAUUUAAAACAAAAUGUUGAAGUUGCCAUGUUAGCACAAGAUAUUACGAAAGAAAGGCACAAAUCUUCCACUGCACAAACAUAAAAUGUGGCAGCUCACACCAUGUCCUCAUACAAAAAUGAGUUGCCAUGUGUUCAAAGGCAAAAUGUGCUAGGUUGAAAUUGCCAUGUUAAAAUGCAACACAAAAUUCAAAAAAGCGUUGAAAAACAUCUACUGAACAACCUGAAAUUGCAAUGCACACACUGACCUCAUAUUAAAAAUGAGUUGCCAUUUAGUACGGCCAAAUAUGUUCAGAUAUCACAAGUCAGCGUGGCAAAACACGAAACUGGGUCUGCAGUACAAUGAAUUUGCCACAUUAUCCUGCCUACAACAUGGCAACAACCAUGCUGUGUUCACAGAAAUACUUGCCACAUGGAAAGCAUAUAUAUGGCAACUGACACAGUUGAUGUGGAAAUUAGUUGCCAUCCAGUGGACAUAGUUGCUGAAACUGACAUGACAACCUAGUUACUAUACUUUGCCAUGCCACAUUAUCCUGUCAGUUGCCACAAGUCAGUGUGGCAAAACACAAAUUUGGGUCUGUAGUAGAGUGAAUUUGCCACAUUAUCCUGCCUACAACAUGGCAACAGCCAUGCUGUGUUCACAGAAAUACUUGCCACAUGGAAAGCAUAUAUAUGGCAACUGACACAGUUGAUGUGGAAAUUAGUUGCCAUCCAGUGCACAUAGUUGCUGAAACUGACAUGACAACCUAGUUACUAUACUUUGCCAUGCCACAUUAUCCUGUCAGUUGCCACAAGUCGGCGUGGCAAAACACAAAUUUGGGUUGUAGUACAGUGAAUUUGCCACAUUAUCCUGCCUACAACAUGGCAACAGCCAUAGUGUGUUCACAGAAAUACUUGCUACAUGGAAAGCAUAUAUGUGGCAACUGACACAGUUGAUGUGGAAAUUAGUUGCCAUCCAGUGCACAUAGUUGCUGAAACUGCAAUGACUACCUAUUUACUACACUUUACCAUGCCUACAGCGUGGCAACAGCCGUAGCAUGUGCACGAAAUUAGUUGCCACAUGGAAAACAUAUUUGUGGCAACUAUCACAAUCAAUCAGGAAAUUAGUUGCCAUACGGUGCAGAUAGUUACUCAAACUACCAUGUUUGCAUUCAUACUGCACUUUGAAAAACAACUACCUAGAUCUAGGGUUCAAUGGCAACUAUCAUAACUUGAAAUUCAUCACCAAAAUUCUCCCUGCACUGAUCGCAAAUAGCAUUUCGAAGCAAUGCGAACCUAUCGGACAGAAAAACGACGGCCUAAUCCCAAGGCACAACCAGGAUGUGGCUCCAGACAGGCCGAACCACACCAGCAUGACCGCCAGCGCGGCGGCGACGAAACUGCUCAAUGCCACCAAAAACGGCAAGCACAAGACUACGCCGCCGGCGGGAACGCCGGCGCAUCGCGAACCCGCCUGAAUCUCGAUGGAUCUCGAGCGAAGCAUCGACCACGGAGGGGAGGGGAGAAAUGCAGGCAAGGAUUUUGAGCAUGGGAGGGAGCAUUACCUUCAAUCUGUAGGCGCUCCGGCGAAGACGCUCCGCUCCGGCGAGUCCCACCGACGGCCGCGAAUGCCGUCGACUCUUCCGCCUCAGCCGUCGCCUUCUCCUCUCUCCUUCUUCUCCAAUCGACUGAACUGCGGGGUGGGUUGUGCGAGUAACUGAGGGGAGGAGUAAAUGGAACCAUGAGGGGAGGGGGGCGAAGUGCGCGACGUGUUUGACGGCAACCACGGUCGGGCGUGGUGUGCGGGCGCAGAGCAGUUUCACCGCACGCCCCCGAGUGGCAACCGCUGACCGCGGGGAGGCAACCGGCGUGUAGGCGAACUGUGUCACACACCACACACACGUCUUGUCCUACGUGGCACACAAAAUCAGUCAAAACGUGCCAAGAUUCGUGCAGAUACUGCUGGACGGUGAUGAAGGCGUGUGGUUGAGAUGGCUAACGCCCACACGUGUGGGCAUUAACAUUUCCAAAAUUUAAUGGAGUAAAUAUACUUCAUUAAGGUUCACUCCUCUAUUUUUUAAAGGGACCGGUUAGAGAUGCCCUCACCAAUAUACUUCGUAUAGAUAGCGGUGUUUCUAGAUUGACAAUCGUGCGAGGAUCGGAACAUGGAAGUGUCAGGUGUAAACAAUAGUAUUCACGAUUUUUUUCUUUUUUAAAAGGAGAAAGACCUCCUUUUCAAAAAAAAAGUUGUUGGGACUUGGGUGGUGUGUCACAGAUUGGAUUUUCAGCACCACAUAUGGUUGUUUCAAAAUCUCAAGAUUUGCUGCGUACGUGAGAUGGAAUAUAUAGUAAUUUACUCAUUAAAAAUUCACCACGUGGUAGGCGUGCAUUGAGCUACUAGCCUACUACUACUAGUUUAUUCUUUCAAUCAAUCGCCACUGAGCAAGUCCAACAUCUACUCCUACUUAUACCAUUCACACGCAGGUAACCUUCCGCUAGCAGUAGUAAUUCGCAAAGAAAAUGGCCUCUACGGAAACCACUGGCAGCAGCAAGAAGCUGCGCGUGCUCCUCAUCCCCUUCUUCGCCUCCAGCCACAUCGGACCCUUCACCGAGCUCGCCGUUAGCCUUGCGACGGCCAGACCACAGGCCGUAGAGGCCACCAUCGCGGUGACGCCGGCGAACGUGCCGCUCGUCCGGUCGUUGCUCCAGCCGCACGAGAACGGCAGUGGCAUACCGGUGAAGGUGGCGACGUACCCGUUCCCGGCCGUGGACGGCCUCCCCAAGGGCGUCGAGAACCUCGGUGCGGCAGCGCAGGCCGACGCAUGGCGCAUCGACGUGGCUGCGCUGAGCGAUACACUGAUGCGGCCCGUCCAGGAAACGCUCAUCAGGGCGCAGUCACCGGACGCGCUCGUCACCGACGUGCACUUCAUGUGGAACGCCGGCGUCUGCGACGAGCUCGGCGUGCCAUGCGUCACGUUCAACGUCAUCGGUGCCUUCUCGACGAUCGCGAUGCGGCAUCUAUUGGGCCGCGUUUCCAACGGCGAGCCGGAGGUGGUGACCACCAUCCCUCGGUUUCCGGCCCCCGAGAUACGAGUGCCGGCGGUGGAGCUGCCGGAGUACUUGAGGAGCCAACGGAAGGGUGGCCAAUCCACCUUCCACCGGCUCUAUGCGGUGCAAGGUGACUGCUUCGGGCUGGCCGUCAACACGUCACCAGCUCUGGAGGAGCACUACUGCGGGAUGUACGUGGGCAAUGGCUACGCGAAGCGUGCGUACAUGCUAGGCCCGCUGUCACCGCGACUGCCGUCGUCACCGGAAGCCGGCGACUCACGGUACACCGACUGGCUUGACUCGAAGCCGAGCCGGUCGGUGGUGUACCUGUGCUUCGGCAGCCUCGCCCACGUCUCCGACGCUCAGCUGGACGAGCUCGCUCUCGGGCUCGAGGCCUCAGGGAUGGCGUUCCUGUGGGUGGUGAGGACGGACAAGUGGUCUCCCCCGGAGCGGUGGCACGAGCGUGUUGGAGGCAGGGGAAUGGUGGCCACCGCCUGGGCUCCGCAAAGGGCUAUCCUGGGGCACCGGGCGGUGGGGGCCUUCGUGACGCACUGCGGAUGGAACUCCGUCCUGGAGACGGUGGCGGCGGGCGUGCCGGUGCUCACAUGGCCCAUAGUGUUCGAGCAGUUCAUCACCGAGAGGCUGCUCACGCAGGUCCUAGGGAUCGGGGAGCGGCUGUGGCCGGACGGCGCCGGCGUUCGGAGCACGAGGUAUGAAGAAAACGAGGUAAUCCCCGCCCAAGAUGUGGCACGGGCAUUGACGACCUUCAUGCAGCCUGGAGGGCCGGGGGAUGCGGCGAGGAGAAGAGUCAUGGAACUGGCCGCCAAGGUUCACGCCGCGGUGGCGGAAGGAGGAUCCUCCGACCGUGAUCUGCACCGCUUGAUAGAUGACCUCAUGGAAGCUGCCGGUGCCGGUGCCGGAAGGACGACGAUAUGAAGUCAGACUUGCUCAAAAUCCUUACUAUUGAAUGGUCGGUCAGUCUCAUCAGCUAUCUUAUCUCACCUGUAUGCCUGAGUUCGUAUAAUUUUGUAAGUUGUUUGCUUUUCAUCUUUUCUUUUCUGGGCUGUAGCCCGGUGGCAAGGACACAGUUGUGCAUCCUUACGGAUCGAGGUUCUACAACCGUCCGAAGCGAAUUUUCACGAAAUCACCCGGAUCAGCUUCUUCUAUAAAAAUAUGUCGUGGGUAGUGUCCAUGGAUCUUUUUUUCUUCUUUUCUUUACAAUCACCUUUUUCCUUGUAAGAAAUCCAAACGAAGCCUUAAUAAAUGUUUUGUCUGCCAGAAUGAAUUGGCCGUGAACCAACCUGUGGUUGGAUGUUUAGAAGGAUAGUGGUAUCCUUAGCCUACCAGAGUUCAAGUCCUACGCUUGACAUUGAUCUCAUAUUUUUCUAGAUUCGUCCAAAGCAUUCCUUACAAGGACAACGUUGCCAGCUGGGUACAAUAUGGUAAAGACGCAAGUUUAACCAGGAUCCGAGAGAUGGAAUGGAGCCAUGCGAGUUGUUUGAAAGAUCAAGUGCUUGAAGAUUUAACAUUUUUUUUUGAGAAAAGGCGUAUUGCCAUCUUACAUCGUCCCAAGGGCAGGAUUACACUCAUUUGCUAGAGCCUCUCGUAAGUCAUAUGGGACAUCUGCUACAUACAUAACAUCCCCUGUCCUCCUUGCAUAUGCGGCCAUUUCAUGAGCCAAUUUGUUCCUGUUUCGUUUGACUGUGCUGAUCGACACCUCUUCAAAACUAUGCAUAAGGUAUCUCACGUCAGUAAUCAAAGGGAAUAGUGAGGAGAGAUUAGCAUCUUUGCUCUUCAGCAGUGUGGCUGCAUUUGCACAGUCCGUCUCGAUACAUAGCUUCCCCCAAUAGCGCUUCCUUAAUUCUGCUAAACCAUAGAGGAUGGCGGCCAUUUCAGCUUCCUCGGACGAGCUGCAUGGAGUCAGUUUUUUACAGAUGGACAGAGCAACACGUCCGUUACAAUCUUUGACAACAAUGCCUGCAUAAGUCUCUCCAGUACUAAUUAAGAAUGAUGUGUCGCUGUUUAAUUUCCAGGUCCCGCUGUCUGGCGGCAGCCACCACUCAGUCUCGUCAGCGUUUUCUGAUAGUGUGGCAUAAUUGGGGUUGUUGCUUCUGCUUGUGAUUGAACUGUCAGCCAUGGGAGCAGUAAUCCCAGAGAAGAUCGGCUUUUUCCCUUUAACUCUUGCAGAUAGAGCCUGACUACAGCAUGAGUAUACAUCCAUAUUGAAGGCCUGCAUAUUUGCCUCUGGAUCGUUGUUGCCCAUGUAAGCACCGCCCAGCUCAUUGUGGUAUUUAACUAAAAAUUGGACUAAAGCCCCAAUCGUCGCUCUUCCUUUUGCAUGAACGCAGUCCUCACGUAGCCACCAUGCGCGCCACAGCAAGAGCAUGAUUUUCUGCCGUACGUCCAUACUGCAUGUGUCCAGCAGCAGUUGUAGCCAAUCCACCCCUGUAUAUUUGAACUUCUCUUCUGCCGGCAGGUCCCAGACCUUUCUCAUCUCCAUGCGGAGCGCCCUGGCCUUGGUGCAUGCAACCGUAGCAUGGUACUCGUCCUCUGUUUCCUUUCCACAGAUAUUACAAAUGUUGUCAAUCUCCAGUGUUCUUUUCCAUUUGUUUUUCUUUGUGGCCAAAGUUUCAGUUGCUACUCGCCACCCAAAAAUGCGAAUUUUCUCAGGGCAUUUGGAUUUCCAAAUUAAGUCCCAAAUACUUCUAUUGUCGGCUUCGCAUACUGAACUUGAUGCAUCAGCCCCCACUAGCUGUUUAAGCUGGAAUCCCAGUUUGUAAGCACUCCGGACAGUGAAUAUACCAUUUUUCUCACUAUGCCAGGCCACACAAUCCUCAGCGCUGGUGUUGGGCAAUUUAAUUUUGCAUAUUUCUUCUGCAUCAAACCCAUGGAACAGAUCCUUAACAAGGUUAACAUUCCAUUCAUUGCCGUCAGAGGUUAGAAGCUGGUUAACCCAUUUCAAACGUGACCGUCUCUUGAAUGUGGCCACUUUCAGUCCGCUUUUCCUGGGUAUCCAUUGAUCCCUUUGGAUCUGAAUCCUUCUUCCAUUACCGACUCUCCAGAUUAGACCUUUUUUGAGGAGCUCCAGUCCGUGCUCAAUACCUUUCCAUGCUUGAGAGGCGUCUGAAGCAAAGGAUGUGUCAAGGAGUUCCCCAUUUGGGUAAUAUUUUGAUUUUAAUACCCUCGCACACAGGCUAGUGAAGCAGGGAUCAGACCAUCCAGCCUGUUGCUUCCCAUUAUCAGGGACUGGAGGUUUGGUAGAGAGUAACCAAUGUGAGAUGCUAUAUGUCAAAAAACGCCAUUGCUACCAAUACUAAAGAUUUUGAGUAAUGACAUGUUGUAAAGAGGAAAUGGAACGUUACCUGAUAAACUGUUGAAACUUAGGUCAAGGUCAAGCAGUUUUGUAAUGCGACUCAAACUUUCCGGAAUUAAUCCCGAUAACCUAUUUUGGCCGAGCAAUAUAGAAGUGAGGGAAGAAACAUUUCCUAUUGAAUUAGGUAUGCUUCCAGAGAGGAAGUUCUCUGUUAGGUAAAGAAAUUUGAGAAUCUCUUUUCUCGUUGAGAUAGCGCUUCCACGAGAAGUCAGAGAAAACAUCAGGUUGAAGCAAAUAACAAGUUGUGCAGUGACCCUCCUGAUUUUGUUAAAUCAAUGACGAUGACAACAUUCUACUCAUGUUUGCAUGUUGUUUUACUAGACCUAACUGCACCAUGUACCAUCAUAAUAACAAAUUCAAAUACUGUUGCAUCUAUGUUCACGUAGAAUCACAUGUUCAAACAAAUGAAGAAUGUCGACACAACACUAGCAAAGAUCAAUACUAAGGAUCACCUACCACAUCUAAUUGGCGGAAAGAUGGUCAUGAAACAAAUCUGUAAAGCUAUUCAAGAGUGGUAAUUGUUUCAUCAUGUUAUUCUUAAGAUUCUUAAGAACAUAUAUAUAGUUAAAUAUUUAGAUGGAUAGGUUGGUGUUCCUACACUCACAUUUGCACUGACAUUGCUAUUCGUACUUACAAAGAAAAGCAAACUAUGCCCAACAAAACCACUAUUGACUGCUUCCACAUACUUACAAGAUAACAAAAGAGAAAAUUUCAUCUAUGCGAGUCAGUGUCUCACUUUGGUCAGUGUACUUCAAAAUACCCUAAAUACAAUUACUAAAGUAGCUUAAGCGCCUCAAUAUGGUCGCUAGUAUGACUUGACAUACAUAUUUCACUUAGUUGGCAUACAGUUGACCCGUCCAAUUGCCACGUGGGCAACAACUAUGUGGACAGCAUGGCCGGGCGGCGUGACAUCUUGAAAAAUAAGCCUGACCGGCCCCACCUAUCAGAUGGGGUGAGAAACAAAAUGCAUAACUUAGCCCGUGGGGAUUUUUUUUCCCACCCCACACCUUUUCAUGUCCACAUAGUGCAACGUUAUGUUAUCAUAGGAAUAUAGGAUAGCUCGAUACCCGUCAAAAAAGAAAUAACCCGCCAAAAAAAUAUAGGAUAGAUCGAUACAUGCAUGUGGUGCAUGAGAUAUAUGUGAUCAUAAUAUACUCCCUCCAUUCCGAAUUAUAAGAUGCUUUUAUUUUUUCUGAGUUAAAUGUAUAUAGACGCGUUUUAGUGUGUCUGUUCACUCAUUUCAGUCCAUAUGUAGUCUAUAUUGAAAUAUUCAAAAUGUCUUAUAAUUUGGAAUAUGUGAUGUACUAGUCACUUGGGUGAUGCGUGAUCAGCUAGCUACAAUCCGGGGUUGAAGAAGACCUGACUGUCAGACGGCCAUUGGUUUCCGGUGAUGAAGCACUCGACAGUGUACUAGGCGGCAUCGCGGGAAUGGAUGUCGCGGCGAUAGCCGCUCCACUUAAUUGACGCAUUGCUUCACCUUGGAGGCAGCCCGGGGGCAUAGCUCUUGUAUUCCAUGUAGCGUAGGUGCGCGUCACGACCGCCAACUUCACCUGAUCGUCCAGCCUUUCCAGGCUACCUAGCCACUAGCGUCCACGAGCUCAUGCGCUGAGGUAACUCUACAUUAUAAACUUGGUGUGGGAGUGGUUCACCCACGGGCGACCAAGGUACGUCUCAACAUUGUUGAGGUCCUCGCUCUCGCCAUGCCUGACGCUGCACUUUUGGACGAGAAGACAGUGUCACAGUCAGGUAAGUUGCAGCCCUAGGCCGUCACCACAUUGUGGUUCCCAAGCAUCAUCUUGAGAACUAAAAUGUGACAGCCCUGAAAUAGUGAUCCAAACGUCUUAUAUUUGUUUACAGAGGGAGUAUAAAAUUAAUGAGAGAUNNNNNNNNNNNNNNNNNNNNNNNNNNNNNNNNNNNNNNNNNNNNNNNNNNNNNNNNNNNNNNNNNNNNNNNNNNNNNNNNNNNNNNNNNNNNNNNNNNNNNNNNNNNNNNNNNNNNNNNNNNNNNNNNNACAUGUUUCUUGGUUGUUACUUUAUGGAUUUGGUUGUUACCAAUCCUUUUGGUAAAGUACCAUUUCUAGUGUAAAGAAAUAUCCACAAUUUAAUAACAAUGAUGUUCCUACCUACAAUCUUGCCUUCUCAAGCAAGGUUGAUAGGGACUAGUACAAUGCCACCAAAGCAUAGAUUCUAACCAAUUCAUGUGUAUGUUGAGGAUAAUGUAUAAAUCCUUAGACAUCACCGUAUCCACCGGUGUUUUUUUUUGCCAUGCAAAUCUGAAAUGGUUGGGAUUCGAGCUUCUAUUCACUAUAUGGAUCUUUUUGGCCAACUCAUGCUUAUUGGCACUGCCCACGAUAAGUAAUCAAUCAAUACACAUUUUUUCCAACAAUAAUUACAUCAUAUCAUUAUAAUUGUUCUAUGCUAAUCAUGUUUGUAAUUGUGUAGCUUUGCAAAUAGACAUAACUACAUGUUUAUAUAUUAACUGCAUGACUCUUUAACUCAUAGAUGGAUUACAGGAAAUUUAUGGAAGUGCAUAUUGAGAGGGCGCUUCCACGAGAAGCCGGAGAAAACAACAGGCGUGUUAUGCUAACUGUACNNNNNNNNNNNNNNNNNNNNNNNNNNNNNNNNNNNNNNNNNNNNNNNNNNNNNNNNNNNNNNNNNNNNNNNNNNNNNNNNNNNNNNNNNNNNNNNNNNNNNNNNNNNNNNNNNNNNNNNNNNNNNNNNNNNNNNNNNNNNNNNNNNNNNNNNNNNNNNNNNNNNNNNNNNNNNNAUUUAAAUGCUUAGCAGAAUGCUUUUGGAAAAACAACGAGUAUAAGUGCACACACUCACACUGCGCCUACCGAAGAACAAUGCCGUGGAGAUUCAAGAUUGACUUAAAUGAAUGCCUUGGCAGUGCAAUGAUGGAUCAUAUUAGUUUGCAUUACUGUCUCUUUUUUUUGUCAACAGUCUUUGUUGUCAUCUCCACCGAAAAAAAGUUUGAUCUGUCUUGCCCAUACUAGUCAGCCUAGUCAGGAAUUCCAUCCCUUUCAAGUAACACAAUCAUGGGUCUCUUUAGUGUUCCUCUCCAGACAUAAAAAACUUAUUCAGGAAUUUCAUUACUUUCAAUAACACUUAACAAUAAUGGCUAGAGGCCAUGGAUAACUCAAAGCAAUACACAACCUCAUCCAUGGCAAGUAGUAAGUCAAUUAACAGUCUAAGAGCAAAAGAGGAUUGCAGCUUGUGUUAUUGUCCGACCCCAGAUUUACAUUUCAUAUGAUUCUCUUACUUUGCUUUGAAAUUGACUACUAAUGCAGGAUGCAGCCUUGAAGACACAUCUUUCCAAUAUUAGCCAUCAGGCUGCUAAGAAUUGUUUACAGAACAAUAGACAUGUCCUUCGAAUAUUACCAAUCAGGCUGUAAAGUAAACAUAUUAUUUCAUCGGAAAACACCUUUACAUACAGCACCCUUUGCAAAUAAAUUAGUGCAAUAAUUUGACAAUACAUACACGUCAAUAUAAAAAAAAUCAACUCUAGAACAAAGAGUUGUUGUUAUUUCUAAUAUCCAACUAUGACUAACUGCAAAUCACAUCUCUGUCCCCACUGUUUGUUUCAGUUUGUCAAAUAGAUUGGGUACAAUAUGCACUGUACUAGUUAAAAAGACACAUUCUUAAUAUAAUGAAUCAGUAUGCUCUAACAGAAUUGAUAUAUUCGUUAAUCAUCAUGACAGUUCCAGAAAAGAGGCUCUAAUAUCAGAAAGUUUUGCACAAACGUCUUUCAUUCCGGGCCUAUCCUUCGUUGAUUCCAUGGUACAUGACAGCCCAAGGGCAACCAAGGGGACAAUAUAUCUCUCCAUCCAUGCUUCUGUGCACCCUUGAUGCUCCUCAUGCGCCAUAUGAGGAUCAAGAAUCUCUGCAACUCUGUCUGGGAACAUGGAUUCAGAGAACUUACAAAGGCUAAGUCCAUCCACAAACAUAUCAUCAGUAGGUCGUUUUCCAGUAAGCAAUUCCAGUAGAAGCACUCCGAAACUAUAUAAAUCGCCGGCUACGGAGAUCUCGCAACCCAUUCCGUACUCUGUGAAGACGUAAUGUGUUAAGAUAAUACACACACAUACAAGACAUACUAUAAUUAAGUGGAAACAGAAAAGGUAAAACUCACCUGGUGCCACGUAUCCAAUUGUCCCUCCAACAUCAUCCAGGCUUUUAGGAAUUACCAGACCUGGUGAUAGAAACUUUGCUGAGCCAAAGUCACUGAGCCGUGCAGUCAUGUCAUCAUCCAAAAGGACAUUGUUUGGCUUCAAAUCACAAUGGAUCAAAGGAGGCGUCAGUUCAUUGUGGGCAUAAUCAAGAGCAGAAGCCACAUCUGCUGCUAUGCAUAUCCUCUGGCCAAAGCCUAGCACUUUGUCUGGAAUUCCAUUGUGCUGCUCAGAAUGCAACCAUGCCUCCAGGCUUCCAUUAACCAUGAACUCGAAGAUUAGUGCUUUGAACUCAUGGUUUUGUGAAUCCAAUGUUGAGCAUAGGGUCACAGGUCGCAUUAUAUUUCUAUGGCGGGUGCUUCGGAGCACUUCACACUCAAUAAGGUAACUAUCGUAUCCACCAGGUUCAUUCAACUUGAAUACUUUGAUGGCAACUAGGCUCUUGUCGGACUUGAACCUACCAACAUAAACUGAACCAGUACAAGUUGAGCUGAUAGUAUGGACCAAAGAAAACCAGUUGGUAGCUUUAACAAUGUCCUCGUAUGACACUCUCUUCAGCUUCUUCUCGUCAUGGCACGGGGCUGUAUGCACUUCUCUUCUAUUAGGAAACAUCUUGGACACAAGAUCCCAUCGUGAAAAUGGAAACGACCCUUUCUUCCAAAUAGUGAGCAUAAACCAUAUCAAGACUAGGGAACCAAUAGUAAGUGGUGGUAGUACAAUUAGCAGCGAGGUCACCAGCAACGACAGAUGAUGCUUCACUUUAGUUGCUGAACCUGAGAUGCCAGGACAAAUUGGUAACGCUAGCCUGGGGGAAUUUGAGCAGAGUCCCUUGUUGCCAUCCAAAACUACUGCAGCAGAAUGUGUGAAGAUACCACUUGCAGGAACAGCCCCUUCCAAGUUGUUGUAAGAGAGAUCAAGUUGCUCCAGCUUAUCAAGUUGCUCAAAGAAUUUGGGCACGACACCGGAUAAGUCAUUGUGAGAAAGAUUAAUCUGCCGGGUUGAUACUAAUAGAUGCCAUCUUUCUGGAAUUUGUCCAUGAAACCUGUUUCCUUCCAUGUGAAGGGAAACUAGACCACUACCAAUGCCAUAUGUACCAAGUACCGGUGGUAGUUCCCCUGUGAGAUUGUUGUGUGAGAAGUCCAGACUCCAGGCGAAUAGAAGGUCAGCAAAAAGUCUGACUGGUAUCGAGCCAUCAAGAUUGUUUUGAGAUAAGUUUAGUUCAAAAAGCCCCAUGCACUGAGCUAAACUACCAGGUAUAUUUCCACCCAAGUUGUUACCAUCAAGGUAAAGUAGAGCAAGUUGAGUAACAUCACCAAUUGAGGGAGGAAUCUGACCUGAUAAUUUGUUCUUUGACAGAUUUAGGAUAUAGAGGUUUCGUAGCUUGCCGAUGGAAGAAGGUAUGCUUCCAUAAAGGAAAUUGCUUUCCAUCCCAAGCGAAAAGAGAUUAACAAGAUUGCCAAUCUCUACAGGUAUGGAGCCUGAAAUUUGGUUUGACCCAAGCGAUAAAUAUUCUAACCUCCUGGAAAGAUUAACAAUUGAUAUAGGUAGGCUGCCAUUUAGAACAUUCCCUUCCAGAUUGAUAUAGGUAGGCUGCCAUUAACAUACAAAAUAGAAGGGAUCUCGCCAGAGAGGUUAUUACGUGACAGUAUAAGUGUACUGAGUGAGACACUGUUGGCCAGUGAGACAGGGAUGCCACCGGUAAGACUGUUGUUUGCAAGAUUGACAUAGCUAAGUGAAUUGCUAGUGCCUAGUGAAUCAGGGAUGUUACCUUCCAGAUUGCUGCCGGCAAGAUUCAGUGUAUGGAGGUUUGGAAGCUUACCCAAUUCUCCAGGGAUGGUUCCCGGCAGAUAAUUAUCGACAAGGUUCAUCAAGGAUAGAGAAGUCAAGUUACCGACACAUCCAGAUAAGCGCCCACCGAGACGAGCAGAUGUGAGGUCCAAAGAGACCACCCGGGGUGGGAUUUUUUUGCCGCAGGUGACCCCUUUCCAGCUACAAAAGUUGAGCGAACCAUUGCUCCAUGAGUGUAGGAUGCCAAAGGGAUCAAAGCUGAUGCCAGACUUGAAGCAAAGGAGGGCAUGGCGAUCAAUCUCGGAGAUAUUUGCUUGUGAUGCAGAUGCCGAUGUGUUGAAGGAGAAAAGGCUGAGCAAAAUACAGAGUAGAGACAAGAGAGAGGGCAUGAUGCUGAUGUGAAAGAACAAAGGUUUGAGCUUGUAUGAUCUUGGGUGAAGGAUGACUUUUGAAGGAUUUGGCUACCAGACAUGGACCAGAAGGCAUGGUUGACUGGACACGGCAGGUCAAUGCGAACGUGUGUGCAAGGGAAAGGAGAAGCAGGGGAGUGAAACAAAGACCUCUGAAUGAGAACGCGUGUGGACUGCAGACUGCGACUGGCAACUGGAAGAGGACCAACAGCAAAGGCGGCAGGCAGCAUCGAACUAGGAUGGAGCAAACGGAGCUGGGGUGUUGAAACGGACCUUCAAACGGCAUGUUUUGUCCACCCAAAUCGCAUAAAAAAAUCCAAACGGCUCGCUCGUGCAUCCCUUCCUCCUCUUGAGCAAAAAUGACGCUGCAUUGCAAUUCAGUCAGUGUUGCGCUUGAUCAUGCAUGCUUGAUGAUUGAAAUGCUUGGUUAACUGAAUGGGAAAACAUGGCAACACAGGCAGGGAUUUCGGACAGACAGCCGAAUCUCGUCAGUUUCUAGAGAAAAGGCAUUGCGCCCAACUUUAUAAAUAAAGCCACCAAAUCUCGUCAGUUUCAGCGUGGCGGAUUGGGAAUCUGCAGGAGGACUGGACUUACCGGAUGCUGCGAGAUGCUGCUCACUCGUCUUCCACGAGCCCGGGGUGGCGGCGAAGCUCCCCGUAGGGAGCCGCCGCAGCGAGGGCUGGCCCCGCUAACUAAACUGCGGAGCAAUCCGACGAGAUGCUGCUGCGGGCCCGAAAAGAAGGAACCCCGGGGGAGGCGCGGCGACGGUGGGUAGGUGGCGGCCGGUGGUGGCGUCGUCGGCGAGGCGCAGCGACCCGCACGGACUUGGGAGGCGGCGAGCGCUCGUUGAUUCAGCGAGGGGGGGAUGGGAGGGGACUGGUGGAAGCGUUGACGGCGGGAAGGAAGGCAGCGGCCGACGGCGGUGAGUCCGCUGUCGGAUGAGGAGGGGAGCACGAGCGUGAAGAUCUGACGGCUGAGGUCGCACCGUAAACUCCAAGGCGCGUCCGAUUUGGGUUCCAAGUGGACUGAAAAACCGAACCAAAUCCGUAUCGGUUUGCAUCGCGGUGUUGAAAUUAACCUCAGUUUCUCUCACCACAAAAAAAAAUCUACGAAAACACAGACGCCCACGCGUGUGGGCGUCUGGCAACUCGCCCACGCGUGUGGGCGUCUGGCAACUCGCCCACACGCAUGGAUCCUCGUUCAACCAAUUCUGCACGAAUCUUGGCGGGUUCUAGCAGUUUUUAUGUGCCACGUAGGACUAAGCUGGUGUGUGGGCAUUUAUCCGGUCGCCCACACGUUCUUUUCCACCACACGGGGGCUGGUGUGUGGGCGUUUAGCAAUUCGUCCACACACCAGUUUUCACGCACGCAGAGGGGGCUGGUGUGUGGGCGUUUAUCACUUCGCCCACACGCCCGUCUCCUCACCCACAUCCGAAGCUGGCAGUUGUCAUGUGUUUCUGCAGGGUACAUGGCAACUGCCCUAGCUUUGCUUGUAAGCAGAUGGCAACUCUCUUUUCCCCGAGUUGCCAUGUGUUUUUGCAGGGAACAUGGCAACCGCCUUAGCGUGCACGUAAGCAGAUGACAACUCUUUCUUUUACAUGGCAACUGCCCUAGCGUGCUUUGUGAGCACAUGGCAACUCUCUUUUUUACCCGAACAUGUUUUUUUGCCAUUCCUUUUUGUAGUGCUACAUGGCAACUGUCUAGUGUUAGUGGGUGGCAACUCCUAAAGUUUUGAAAUCAUGGCAACUGCAGUAGACCAGACCAUACAUGGCAACUGCAGUUAAGCAACCAUGGCAACUGUAGUUGUCCGACAUGGCAACUGCAGUUAAACGAACAUGGACGAGGGUCUGGGCCAUGGCAACUGCGGGGCGCGCGGUGACUGUCACGCGGGGCGUGCGGGACCACGAGGUACGAGGCCUGAUGUACGGGGCGUGUGGGCGUUAUCUAUUUCGCCCACACGCACGCGUGUGAGAGGGAUCGGGAGGAAAAAAAAGAGGUGUGUGGGCAUUACUUGUUUUGCCCACAUGUAGAUGUGUGGGCUGUUCCUCUUAUACACCACACAAAAUGUGUGGGCAAACCUCCUAAUGCCCACACGUACGGCACUUAUCGGCGUCCAAAAUCUAAGAGUAUCUCCAGCUGGACAUGUGUGAUUAAUAAUAAAAUCAAAUAAAAUAGCAAAAAGAAAACUGAUUUUUUUUGGCAUUCAAAGAUGCUCUAGCGUGUGAUGUGGUUGGCAACAUUCAUGGUGUUUGGACAUUCCACGAUAGCGUGACAAAAAAAUUUGACCGUGAAAAAAACUUUGAAAAUGAGCACUAUUUGGACCUGAUUUGUUUCUUUUUCAUGUCCUUAAAUGUCCAAACAUCACAAAAAUUUGCGCAGCCGAGCAUCUUUGAUGUCAAAAAAAUACAAUUUUUUAUCUUUUAAAUAUUUUUUAAUUUAGUGUUCAACAGGCAUAGAUGAGCACGAGCUCAGACAUGAAUUACCGUGACUCCUAUUUCCUCCCCAUAUGUUCGGAUGGAUGAAAUUUUCUUGGAUAAGAGAGAAAGAAAAACACCAUUCAACUAGAGCUAUCAAAUGGUACCUCCGGACACACCGCCACAUCGGAUGCAGCUCACCCCGGACCAUUUUCUCUCUCCCUCCCCAUCAAUGAUAUGCAUGUGUCCGCACAAUUUAGGGGAUACGACAGCAUGCACAUGAACAAAUAGGGGUUCAAAGUGGGCGCUGUAGAAAGUGUCCGCGGACAAGUAAGUUCAGUUGAAGAUACUCUAACACACUGCAACCAUAUGAAAGUUAACAGGUGUAUCAGUUCAAAAGACAGGUUAACACGUGUACUGUUUUAAGUUAAUUUUUAUCAAGAACCAAAAAAUCAUUUCUCAGAAAUCUAGAGCAAUGAAUUAUUAAUAAUACAAUCUCACCAAAACUUGCAAAUGCGCAUAUGUACUGCAAUAUACUUCUCUGAAUACGCAGAUUAAUAAUUGGGAUCACAUGAACUCAGUUUCUAAAAUAUCAUGUCUAAUAGAAUACAUAUACUAGUUUUUCCAACAUAGGGAGCUCCAAUACUGAACAUGUACUCUUUCGAGCAAUUCAAUAUUUUGAUAACUAGAGAUCUGGUGAUUUUCCAACACAUAAAUGUGAUCUGCAGAACCAAUUUUUACAGCAAAGAUAUUCGCACCUUAUACUCUUAUUCAAGAACGUGUUGAUCUGCAGGUUAAUCAGCAGAACUCAAAGAAUGCCUCUUUGAGAGACAAAAUUCUGGCACAAACUUCUCCCAUUCCCGGUCGAUCUUUAGGCGAUUCCAUGGAACACAGGAGGCCAACUUCAACCAGAGGUACCAUAUAUCUCCGCAUAAGCACUCUAUCACACGCACGCUGCUGCUCGUGGGACAAAUGGGGAUCUAAAACCUCUCUGAGUCUGCCUGGAAAUGCUGAGCUCACAAGCUUGUGCAGGCUCAGGCCACCGGUGAACAUUGCAUCCGUUGGUCGCCUUCCGGUAAGCAUUUCUAGAAGGAGGAUUCCAAAACCAUAAACAUCACAUCCUGGUGAAACUUUGUAUCCCAUACAGUACUCUGUAAAAUCAUUUAGGGCAUUUUUAAUACAAGAGAAAUAACCAAUAACAAAAUACUCAAAACAAAGUUGAACUCACCGGGUGCGAUAUAUCCAAUUGUUCCUUCCACACCAACCAAGUCUUCUGGACUACCAGGGGUAGAAGAGAGAAACCUCGCUGACCCAAAAUCACCAACCCUUGCGGUCAUAUCAUAGUCCAAAAGAACAUUUCCGGGCUUCAAAUCACAGUGGAUUAGAGGAGGCGUUAACUGGUUGUGCAUAUAAUCCAGAGCCAACGCGACGUCCAUCGCUAUUCUUAACCUCUGACCCAAGCUCAGUACUCUCUUGGGGCUAUUGUUGUGUAGCUUCGGGUGCACCCACAUGUCCAAGCUUCCGUUGGCCAUGAAGUCGAAAACUAUAGCCUUGAAUUCAUUGUUCUCUAGGUCCACUGUCGAGCAUACGGUGACAGCUUUGACAAGAUUGCGAUGGCGGGUGUUUCGCAACACCUCGCACUCGGUAGCGAAGCUGUCAUGCGCACCAUUCUCUUCGAGAUGGAAUAACUUGAUGGCGACCAAGUCCGUGUCAAACUCAAACCUUCCAAUGUAGAUCGAGCCGGUGCGACUUGAGCUGAUCUUGUUAACCGGAGAGAGCCAGUUGGUAGCUUUGACGAUGUCACCAUAAGAAAUCUUCUUCAUUGUCUCCUUGUAGCAUGGAGCUGUUUCUGCUUGCCUUCUCUUCAGAACAGUGACCACAUAGCAUAUGAAGGAGAGCAAGGCAAUAGCAAUUGGGGGAAUUAGUUUUACCAAUAGGAGUGCAUGCUUGCUCUCAACAGCUGACGUUGUGGGGCAAAGUGGGAAAUCGAAUAAGUUGGUGGUUGCAUUUGCACACAGCCCUGCAUUACCAUCCAAGAUUACUGCACUAUAUUUCUGAAAGAUGCCACCGGUUGGAAUUGGCCCUUCAAAGUAGUUGGCUGACAGAUCAAGUUGGUGCAAAUAAACCAUGUUUGCAAAGAACUCUGGAAUUUGUCCAACAAGGUAGUUUUGGGAAAGAUCAAUCUGAUCAAUGGACUUCAGCUCACUGAAAGACUGAGGUAUGCUUCCAUUAAGCAUGUUACUUCUCAAUCUUAGAGACACUAGUUGGACACAUUGGCCAAGUGAUAAUGGUACUUGACCAGACAAUUUGUUGACGGAAAUAUCAAGACGGGCAAGUUGAAGCAGUGCACCAACUUGUAGUGGUAUUGAUCCUGUAAGGUUGUUGUUUGACAAAUCAAAACUGAGGAGGGUAGUGCUAUUGGUGAGUUCACUUGGUAUUGGUCCUUCAAGGCUGUUAAAAGAUAAGCUUAGCAUAUCCAGUUGCUUGCAAUUUCCUAAACUUGCUGGGAUGUUCCCACUCAAGUUGUUGUUGUCUAGAGAAAGCUGAUUCAGCUGGGAAAGAUUACCUAUUGCAGAUGGGAUCUGACCAGAAAAUUUGUUCCCUGAUAGGUCUAGGACAACUAGCCGGUCUAGGUUCCCGAUAAUAGAAGGAAUAACCCCUGAAAGCAAGUUUUUGUCCAUAGCAAGCAUUUGGAGACUUGCAAGGUUAAAAAUCUCAACUGGUAUUGUGCCUACGAUUUGAUUCCUUCCAAGGUUUAAACGUACUAAACUUCUAGAAAGAUUCCCAACAGACCUAGGGAGACUACCAUUCAGGACAUUCCCACUCAUUUCCAAAAUUUCUAGCUGCGAACAAUUUGCGAGAGAGACAAGGAAUUCCCAGCCUUCAGCUUCUAGGAAGUUAUUUUCAAGAAUUAGUAGCUGUAAGUUAAGUAAAGAUCCCAGAGAUGGGAUUCGUCCAUUUAGUAAGUUGUAUCCAAGAUCAAUCACUUGGAGGUUCGAUGCAUUUGCUAGUGAUGAUGGAAUUAAUCCCUCAAAUUUGUUACCUGACAUGUCAAGCAAUUCAAGGUUUGUUAAUGUGUUUCCAAUGAAAGAUGGUACUUGUCCAGUUAGGUCAUUCUGGGCUAAGUCAAGAUAAAUGAGUGAUGAGAUGUUACAGAGUUCGGACGAAAGAUGCCCCGACAGGUUGUUGUUACCUAAACUCAGCAUACUAAGGUUCUGGAUAUGGCUAAGAGAAGAAACAUUUCCCAGUGAUGAAGGUAUGCUUCCAGAAAGGUCGUUAUUUGAAAGAUCAAGAAAUUCAAGGGUUGACAUCUUAUGGAAAUCUGGAAUAUUGCCAGUGAAGAUGUUAAAUGAGAGAUCGACAAUUUUAAGAGAUCUACUAGUGCCUAAAGAUCUAGGAAUGCUACCUAUAAGCAUGUUUUCUGACAGUAUCAAAGUUUGGAGGGCUGGCAACCUAUGGAAAUCUGGUAUAGUACCGACAAGAUGGUUUUCUGUGAGAUUGACAUGUAUGAGAGAUCUACUAGUGCCUAGGGAUCUAGGAAUGAUACCUUCAAGGAUGUUCACUGAAAGGAUCAUAAACUGUAGCUGUCGAAGUGUGCCUAACUCCUCUGGAAUGCUUCCAGAGAAGCGAUUUUCUGAAAGGUCUAGCCGUUCAAGUGACGUAAGGUUAGCUAUCCAAGGAGAUAACUGACCACUGAGCUGUGCAGAGUUUAAGUUCAGGGAGACCACACGAGUUGGAAGAGUAAUACCGCAGGUGACACCUCUCCAGCUGCAGAAGCUGAUCGAGUGGUUCCAAGACGACAGGACCUGGCGCGGAUCACUGGUGAUGCUCUCCUUGAAGGAGAGGAGGGCCUGCCGGUCGACCUCGGACCCGUUGCUGAUGGAUUUUGCGACGGUGUUGGAGGACAUGAAGAUGAGAAGGUGGGUGAAGAGAAAUAGGAUGCCAUGUGUGGAAAGAGGGCGGAGAGUUCCUGCAGGUGCCAUGUCUAAUGCAGCGUAUCUUGUCUUGUGCGCAUUCCUUCUCUAUUAUGCAUCCCUCAGAGUAGACUUGGUGUUGACUUGCUUGUAACCUCCAUCACAGACCAACACCCCAGCGGUAGAACAACCUGUGGAUGGGAAUCGACAGGAUAAGGUGACCAAGACCCAGAAAGAGAUGGUCUGCAAAGGCUGGUCCGUCCAUGAAGUUGAUCCAACACUUGCGAUACUUUGCUAGGUGUGCUACUGACAGCUUGGGACCGGGAGACCGAGAGAGUUAGUCAGUGGAAAUUGUUGAGAAUGAAGGUCGGGUCUUCAUUUUGUCAAGAAGAUGGGCAGGGCAUUCCAACAAGCAUUUGGUGUUAUGGCAACAUGCUCUGCUUGAUUGGGAUGUGGUGGACUGGAGACUGGACUCUGUGUGGUUGGACCGACAGGAGAAGAGGAAGGGGGCACACAUGCUUACACGGCGGCGACCUCGAUUUUCGGCGUUUCGGCGGGCGGGCGUCGGCUCCACCGCCGCAUGCACUCCUCCGGCCUCGGCCAACAAGAGAAACAGAGGUAUGGCGAGGUGAACGCAGUCUGCGGCGUUCCCUUCACAGACUUCUGCUGCGUUGGAAGCUGGAACGGAGUGAGAGAGAAAAAGCAAUUCUGCCGUGCGCGAAUCCACCGUGGUUGCUUUGAGAUUCGUAAUACUUUUUUUUUACUGUUUUAUUAAAAUUUUGUCUUGUUUCAAAGUGUUACAUUGGAUUUGUUUUCUCUUGCUCCAUAGUGUAUGUUGAUGUUUCAUUAUGUAUCGUCCUGUUUGUAUCAGCUAACCUGAUCCAAAAGAAUUGUACUCCCUAUGUUCACAAACAUAAAAUGUUCUGGCUUUUUUUUUGUGAAUUGGUUGUAUAUAGACAUGUUUUAGUGUGUUUGUUCAUUCAUUUCAGCUCAUAUGUAGCUCAUAUUAAAAUAUCGAAAACAUCUUAUAUUUAUGAACGAAGGGAGUAGUAUACUUUUUUGUUGGUACAUAGUGAAACAUGAUACACAUUGAAACAAGAAAAAGAAAGCUACCAAAAUAUUUGAAACAAGAUAAAUGUUGACAGCAACCAUUAAAAGUUGCAUGAAUUUCAAAGCAACAAUGGAUGAUGGAUGCAUACACGGAAUAUCAUGUGCAUGGCAGAUAAACCACUCUCAGAACGGAGUGCAUUUGCCGUCAUUGAACUUGUAUCGUGAGCACACUUUGGUCACUGUAAAAAUGCUGAUUUACAACCAAAGACUCAAUGAGCAGUGUUCAGCCAGAUGUGGAUAUGGGACGGAUAAUAAUGUCAAAAUGAAAAUUCUGUUUUCAUGGUUUUCAGCCAGAAAAGGUCUGUUUUCGCAGGAAAUUUUUCCAGUGACUAACGAUGAUCCUGACUCCCUGCUUGUUAAUUUCGCUGCCCUGUCUACCAUCGACACUGGUUGCCAAUCACACGGCUAUUUUAACAGUUAUUGCGACUCUGCCAAUAAGGCAAAAAUAAAAUCCAAGCUAGUAAUCGCUUUGGUGAGGAGGGAACCAACAAAUAAAAAGCAUACCAUAUAUAGACCUAACUGUAACAAUUUUCUGUUCCGAUUGAGGAUGCUUCACUAAUCGAAAAAUGAACAGAUCACAAGAACUGAGAAGAAGUCACAAUCUUUGGAGCAAGAAGACACAAAGAGGAACUAGAAACAAGAAGCCAAGAGGCGCCCCCCAGCAAAUGAAACGCCGGCUCAGUUGAUCAACGCGACCAGAGCUUGUGAUGACUCUGAUGCCCUACAACCAAAGGUACGGAGUGCAGAUAUCAGUUUAACUGGCUCCUAGAUAUAUGCAUUUCAAGAUCUCAAGUAUUCACAACAGGCAAAUAUGGGCCCUUUAUCAACUAAGAUUGCUUAAGUUGCAAGAUGAAUUAAAGCGGCUAUAUCAUAACCGUCUCUAAACAAAGAGAAAUUUUCAUUUCCUUGAUGUUACAGAUACAUAGAUGAUGAAAGCAUCUGAUCAAGCAAAAAGCUCACAAAAGUACACAUGGCAGAAAAGCUAAGAGUAACUCUAGUAGCAAGUUAAGUCAGCCAUGCACUGUGAGGCUGCAUCGACGUUCUUCUACCUUUCAACCAAUUGAAUUCCAGUUAACAUCUCAUGGGGAUUCAGAGCUGAUGACAAUAGAGCAGGUGAUGAAAUAACUCUUGUGUGUUGUAUGUGCAUUUCCUGCUUCAUUAUAUGAGCUACACCAGUGAUGGACUGAUGAAUAUACCUAAUAGAUCUAAUUCUGCUACUUUAGUGUAGAAACAUAGCAUGUAUACUCGAAAGUUUAUUUACUUGGCAGUUAGGACAUCACGUAUAGAAUCUAGCGUCAUUCACUUCAGUGUAUAAACACCAUUCAGUAAAAUGGUAAAAAUGUAAUAUCCUGGAAGUAUAUUUCCCAACAAAUACUCCACAGUACUUAAGAUGUAACCACUAUAUAAUUGAAAGUAUAUAGAAGCUUCCAUUUCCUUGAUGUUACAGAUACAUAGAUCAUGAAACCAUCUGAACUGAUCAAGCUACAAGCUCACAAAAGUACACAUGGCAGAAAAGCUAACAACUAAAAAGGUGGAGCUGAUAUCAAGUUAAGUUAGCCUUAGCCAUGCAUUACAAGGUCGUCUUCUACUACCUUUCAACCAAUUGAAUUCCAGUCAACAUGUAAUGGGGAUUCAGAGUUUGAUGACUAUCAACAGGUGAUAAAAUAGCUUUGUGUGUUGUAUGUGCAUUUCCUGCUUCAUUAUAUGAGCUACACCAGUGAUGGACUGAUGAAUAUACCUAAUAGAUCUAAUUCUGCUACUUUAGUGUAGAAACAUAGCAUGUAUACUCGAAAGUUUAUUUACUUGGCAGUUAGGACAUCACGUAUAGAAUCUAGCGUCAUUCACUUCAGUGUAUAAACACCAUUCAGUAAAAUGGUAAAAAUGUAAUAUCCUGGAAGUAUAUUUCCCAACAAAUACUCCACAGUACUUAAGAUGUAACCACUAUAUAAUUGAAAGUAUAUAGAAGCUUCCAUUUCCUUGAUGUUACAGAUACAUAGAUCAUGAAACCAUCUGAACUGAUCAAGCUACAAGCUCACAAAAGUACACAUGGCAGAAAAGCUAACAACUAAAAAGGUGGAGCUGAUAUCAAGUUAAGUUAGCCUUAGCCAUGCAUUACAAGGUCGUCUUCUACUACCUUUCAACCAAUUGAAUUCCAGUCAACAUGUAAUGGGGAUUCAGAGUUUGAUGACUAUCAACAGGUGAUAAAAUAGCUUUGUGUGUUGUGUGUGAAUUUCCUGCUACAGCCGGGCUAGAUAAGCUACACCAGUCAUGGGGCUGAUGAAUAUACCUAAUUGAUGUAAUUCAGCUACUUCUGUGUUGAACCAUAGGCGCUCUACGUUCUACAACAAGCUUCCUAAGUUAGAUUUAGAAUCAGAAGCCACACCUCCACCAAUUGUUCCAAGGAAUUUUCUAGGCAUUACAUCAAACAUCUCACACAAAAAUUUACAAGGGAAUUUUCAAAUAUAGUGCAAAACACAUUCUAGAUGAACUUCUUGGAAUUUGUUAAGCAUGGCUGCAUUUCCCAAAUCAAAAUAUAGCAUAAAGCCAUGAAGUAUAGGCAAAAGACCUAACAGCCAGUCUGCUUAAACUUUUAUCAAACUGGACAUUAAAAACAAGACAGCUGCAACAGUUAGAACAGACUUAGGCCUUACAUUUCAGUAAAAUGUCAAAACAAUCAGUAGUAGUAAAAUUGAACGACUUCACUUAUUCCUACUAAGUCAAGAAAUCAAAGAUUACUACAUCAUUUGUACUGGAAUGAGGGUGCCAAAAACCACUCUAAAAUUUAUAAGAGAUUUUUCACAUAUAGUGCAAAAUGCAUUCUAGACAAACUUCUUGAAAAUAGCAAAGCAUAUCCUGAUGCCUGCACGCCCCAAAACUAAAUAUAUAGCAUAAAGUAUAGUCAAAAGCCCUACCUGCCCAUCAUACCAACAGUAGCUAAAUGAAAUCUGCUUAAGCUUGUACCAAACUGAACCUUAAAAUCAAGAUAGCUGCAACAGUUACAACAGCUUGCCAUAUCAUCAGUCACGGGAACCACAUUUAGAGAGUCCUUCCAUCGUGUAUUGCAGGCAUAUAUAUGUUCAGCAUUCAAAACAUUAUGCAACGCCAACUGAUUUGACUUAGGCCUUACAUUUCAAUAAAAGUAGUAAAAUUGAACAAUCACAGGAAAUUCUUCACUUAUUCCCAUCAAGUCAAGAUGCUACAGAUCACUACAGCAUUUCUAUUAAAAAGGAGGGCGCCAACCCUGCCGAGGCAUUGCGUCGAACACCUCACGCGCGUGCAGGCGGGCAUGCAGGCGAAAGGAAAAACAAACCGAAACACCACGGGGGGUGGGAACUAAC